RNAcentral lists this long non-coding RNA (68684 nucleotides) under Populus tremula. RNAcentral's name for it is "long non-coding RNA (PTRE_LNC000386)". The stretch from base 51418 to 51571 matches the Rfam family "MIR2912 microRNA precursor family". The record is from RNAcentral. Lineage: Eukaryota; Viridiplantae; Streptophyta; Magnoliopsida; Malpighiales; Salicaceae.
CACAAAGAAAAGGGUUGUCUUUGUAGCAGCUCGCCUCAAACGUGGCAAAUUGUGCAACUCUCGCAGGAGUCUUACCGGACAAAUUAUUGUGAGCCACACUAAAAACUUCUAUAGAAAAUAGUUCAGUAAGUCGAGGUGGGAUUUCUCCAUCCAGUUUGUUGUAGGAAAGAUCCAAGCUCUCUAUUUCUUUUAAGUUUGAAAAUGUUGGUGGAAUUGGUCCGGUCAAACUGUUGUGCGAAAGGUUCAAUGCCUUGAUCAUACCGAGGUUUCCAAUUUCAGGAGGAAUCUUCCCGGUGAAAUUGUUGCAUGAGAAAUCAAUUCCUAUGAAGUACCAUAUAUUGUCGCCUCUAUAAGAAAGGGAUACAUUCUUUGUUGUAAACUCGAAGGAUUGUUGUGAUGAGGACAUAAAAUCAUAAGAAUUAUAUAAUAGUGGGAAAGGAUGAGUAGAUAUCAUCCAAGAGAGGAUGUUACCAGAAAGGUGAUUAUGAGAAAGAUCAAUCAAGGUUAAUUGGUCCAACCUUGAUAAUUGAAUUGGGAUUUCACCUUCAAGAUUGUUAUAACUCAAGAGUAGAAAUCUCAAGUUAGAUAGCCUGCCAAUCCAUUCUGGAAUUGUACUAGUUAAAUUAUUAUAGGAAAGAUCCAAUGCCACUAUCUCAGCGGGGUCAUAAAAUGCCAUUGUGAUCGGUCCUUGCAACUUAUUUCUAGACAAAUAAACAUAUCUCAAAUUUGAAGAAGUGUCGAAUCUAGGUGGUAAACGACCGGAGAAAUUGUUCCCUGAUAAGUCCAAGAAUUCAAGAGAAGACAUAUUCCAUAUCCCUUCAGAGAUCUGCCCUUGCAAAUUGUUGUUGGAGAGGUCUAACAUUUGCAUCGAGCUAAUGUUACCCAACGAAAAAAGAAUGCUUCCAUUGAAACCAUUGUCAGACAUAAGUAAAACUGCUAACCCUGGCAAACGAGCUCCGAUUUCUGAAGGUAUUUGACCUUGGAAGUGAUUCAUGGAUAUACUUAGGAAUGAUAAAUUCACAUGAGAAUUCUUUGGCAACAAGAAUGGACCCGAAAGAGAACAGUUUUCUAAAUAAAGCACUUGUAGGUAUGUGUUGUUCUCAAUCAACCAAUUUGAAAACUUUCCCUUUAUUUGGAUGUUUGCAAGGUCCAAAUAUUGCAGGCUAAACUGAUGGUAAAAGAACUUGGGUAAUGCACCCGCAUCUUGUCCACGACCUCUUAAAUAGAGGAACUCUAACUGGACCUUUGGGCUCAGAUUAUGAUCAUCUUCUUCUGCGAAUAUUUCAUUACCCGACCCAUCAAAAUACUUGAGUUUUGAAAGGUUGUAUAAUGGGCUCAAUGACAUAGAAAUCUUCAAGUUGUUGGAAAAGAGAUCUAGGUAUUGAAAGGAAGUCAGAUUUGCCAGACACGGAGGCAAGAAACCAUUAAGAUCAUUGUCAUGCAUAUUCAGCUCUUGGAGAUGAUUUAAGUCAUAUAGGCCUGGUUACAUUAUAAUAUAGAGAAAAUUAAAACUUUGAGUGUCUAAUAGAAAAUACAUAACCUAGAGAGAGAAUAAGAGUCAUCAACCUUACCUUGAGCUGUAGGUAUUUGGCCAUCUAGUUUGCAGCUCAUCAAAAUCAAAGUUUUGAGAGGUCAUUGUCCGAUGGAUUGUAAGAUGUUGUUAUCAAGAGUAUUGAAACUCAAAUCUAAGUAUUCCAAGUUCUUGAGAUUAAGAAAGCCUGCUCAAUUAAACAAGAAAUUAUAAUCGCGUAGAAGGAAUUAAUUAUAAAGGAAAUGAAAGAGCAAGAGUAAUCAACCUUACCUUGGGUUGUAGGUAUUUGGUCAUUUAGACUACAAUCCUUCAAUAUCAAUAUUUUAAGAGAGGUCAUUGUUCUGAUAGUUUGGAAGAUGUUGUUAUCAAGAGUAUUGGAACUCAAAUCUAAGUAUUCCAAGUUCUUGAGAUCAAGGAAGCCUGUCACGAUUAAUUAAACAAGAAAUUAUAUUAGUGUAGAAGGAAUUAAAAUUAGAAAUAAUUCAUUACUUAUUAAUCAUGGCUAAAAAAAAAACAUCAUGUAAGUGUAGAAAUUGUAUUGUCCAAUUAAUAUAAGGUUUUUUUAUACAUCUGGCCCAAAAAUAGAAAUACACCAUUGUUAAUUUAUCCUCCUCCUAAAAAUAGCACUCUCUAUAUAUGAAGUUACCUUUUCAUUAAAGAAAUUAUUGUUUUUUAUGGUAUCAUUUUAUUUACAUUACACUGAAAUAGUGUUGAGAGAGAGGGGGGCAAAAUUAAAUUGAAAUAUUAUUUAUAUUAAAUGGAUUGUAGAAUUUUAAAAUAAUAAAGAUUUCAAUUGAGUUAAUUUCUAAAUUUGAGAUUUAAUUGUCUCUAAGACUUGUUUAGUAGGUUGCUAAAACAUAAAAGAUGAAAUCUAUAAAGACACCUAAUUAUAGCAGGUAUAGAAAUAAAUAAAAUGAUCAAUGAUAAGUAAUAGUGGAGUUGAAAUUUGUUAAUUUACCUUUAGAAGGUAUAGUGCCAUUAAGUUCUCGCAAUGACAGAUUUUUUAGAGAAGGCAGUGCUCCAAGGCUUUGAAGAGAGUGUUCAUCUAGAGAACAACCGUCCAGAUACAACUCUUCCAAGGAGCUCAAAUUUUGCAACUCUGUUUGUUCAAAAGUAGCAAAUUGUAUUUUUCAAUUAAACCCAAAUAUAUGAACAUCACUAUAUAUAAUUACUUACUCUCACCUAAUAUUCUUCCUCUAAAAUCAUUGCCUUCCAGGUAAAGUGUCGUGAGGUUUGGGAAUGAUCCUAAUAAACGAAGAAUACUCAAGUUAAAAAUAUUAUAAUUUCAUCAAACCACUAAUAUGAUAUAUUACACUAUUAUUUUUUUUAUAUUUUGUUUUGCUUUCCCUUGUUUAGAAAAUGCCAUAUUUUUUAAAAAUAAAAAGAAAUUAUAAUGAUUCCAAUUGAGUUAAUUUCCUAAUUUGAAUAGUCAAUGAAAAGUAAUAGUGGAGUUGAAAUUUGUUGAUUUACCUAUAAAAGGUACAGUGCCAUUGAGAUUUUGCAAUGACAGUUGUUCUAGAGAAGACAGUGCUCCAAGACUUUGAAGGGAGUGUUCAUCUAGAGAACAACCUUCUAGAUACAAACUUUUCAAGGAGCUCAAAUUUUGCAACUCUGUUUGUUCAAAAGUAGCAAAUUAAAUCUUUUAAUUAAACCCAAAUAUAUAAACAUCACUAUAUAUGUACUAUAAGUACUUACCGUCACCUAAUAUUCUUCCUCUAAAAUCAUUGGAUUCCAAAUAAAGUGUUGUGAGGUUUGGGAAUGCUCCUAAUGGUUGCAGUAACUGGAAGCUACUUCCAUAAGUUGUGAUAUUAUCCAGCAGUAGAGUUCUCAAGUUGCUUGGACCUGCAAGUUAGUUAGGGAAGAAACAAGAAUAAUUAAUAUCAUCUUCAUGAUGCUACCAGCCAAGUAGGUAAUGUGAAUGUGUUACUAAUUACCUCUUGAGGCUACCAAUUUGUUAAUAUUGUUGCCGCUUAGAUCCAAGUACUCCAAGCUGCUCAAAGAUUCUUGAUAUUUAUAUGAAAUAAAUUAAUGAAUACAAUACUCAUUAAUUGUGUUUUUGGAAAUUAAAUGUAACAGAUAAUUGUGUUAAUUAAAUUUAAUAUUUAUAAAAAUAAUAAUAUAUAAAAAAAACUAACCUUUCAAAUCUAUUAACCCCUCCAGUCUAUUAUAACUUAAAUAUAGUUCUUUAAGAGAUGGAAGCCCCUCUACAUAUGAUAGAAUACUGUUAUUGAAACAAUUAUAUUCCAAGCCAAGGAUCUCCAAAUUGCUCAAUUUCUGUAACUCAUGACCACCUAUAUAAACAAAUAAAGAAUAAAUUAAUUAAGACUUCAUGUAAAGAACAUAAAAAAGAUAUCAUUGGAGUACUAACUUAAUUAUUAUUGAUCAAGAGGCAUGUAAUUGGUACGGUGACUUUAUGUAAAGAGGUUGAGGCGGGGAAAGUGAAAGAAAGAGCAGUAAUGAUGGCAGUGAAAGUAAGAGGAAUAAUUGUUACAGUGAUGAUGUCAUGAUUUUAAUAUGUUGUGGUGGUAUGAUUAUAUUAAUAAAGUAAGGAAUUAAACAACUCCUUUUUAUUAAAUAUGCUUUCUAUUUUCUUCCAAAAUGAUACUAAUUAAACAACACUUUAUUUGAUUAAUUCUAAAAAAGUAAAACUAAUAUAAAUAUUUUGUAAUACUUAAGAGAGCAAACCUUUGUUCUUAGCCCAAUCAGCUAUACUAUUAUUCCACUAGGAGAGAACGUUGAGUUGUUGGAAAGGAAGAAACAAGGAGGCAUUGAAGUACCAAUCUCCCAUCUCCUGGUUCCUUACGCCCCCAAGAUAGAGUUCGGUGACUCGACCUGUACUGCUGUUGCAGACAAUACUUUCCCGAUCCCACUCACAGCAGUUGGGGUGGGCUAUUCUCCAGGAGGGAAGGGAGGUGCCAUUGGGAUAGUUAAGAGAAUCUUUGAGGUGCAACAGAGCGAUCCUCUCUUCCUCCAAGCAGCCAAGAGCCACCCAUCCUUGCAGGGAAACCGUUAUCACUAACACCGUCAACACCUGAAGGAACAGCCCCAUCUUAAUAUAUAUCAACUAUUACAAUAUUAAUUGUUGCAAAUGGCAGCGAGGAGGUUCAGGUUUUUAUAGAGGACUUCACGGACCCAUGCCGUGCAAAAAACUGCAAAGCUAGUUGUUUUAAAGAAUUCCAUAUCUUAAUGAAAACAAUAUAUCUCAGUAAUCUCAAUAUUUGUGCUUUUACCACGUAAGAGGUUAUAUUACUAACUCUUCAGCAACAUUAAGUAAAAGAAAUGUUCAUCAUUCUUAUAGCACUCAACAUUUUCCAUUUUAAUUUUAACAAAGUUCAAUACGAAUCUUUCCUGAUUGAUUUCAUGCCGUGUUUUUUUCCUACUAAACACCAGCUUUUUAAUAUAGUUUUCUUAUAAACAUUAUUUUUUAAAAAAAAAAUUUACAAACUAAAAGGUUGUUUGAGAAAAAAAAUUGAUACCAUGUUUUUUUUUAAUAAUUUUUUUUAUUUAAAAUAAUUUUUAUUUUUUUAUUGUUAUAAUAUAUUGAUGUUAAAAAUAAUUUUAAAAAUGAUUUUUUUUAUUUUAAUACAUAAUUCAUAAUAUCUCAAUUGAUUCAUUUAACAUUUAUCUUUAAUAUAUAUAAUUUCUUUGUUUUUUUUAUAAUACUUUUAAUCUGAAUAUCUUUUAGGAAAAAAUGCAUGAUGAAAAUGUUCACUCGGACCCAACUUAUGGAAAAAUGCAUGAUGAGACCAUCCAACAGAGCCAUCUCGUUGAAAAAAAAGAAGCAGGAUGGCGCACUUGAGGUCUUGGCCUAGCGGUUGAGGGGGCUUGUUCCCUUUCUCUGCACCAGGGUUCAAACCUCAUUGUGAACGCAUGUCAUCCCCGUGGUGUCUUACAUGCUCACUGGGUUUGCAGGAUGUUCAGUGGGCCAUAAGAUUAGUCGUGGUACGCGCAAGGUACGUAGCACAGACACCCACGAAAAAAAAAAAAGAAGAAGAAGAAGCAGGACGGCAAUGUCCUCUUCAUCCCGAUUUUAUGAUAAUUUAAGUUAAUAGAAUUUUAGGAUUUCUAGAAGAAUUAAUUCUCUCAAAUUUUGUCAUAUUUCCACUGUUUUUUUAUUAUUACUACUUGGGCUUUCCUUUCUUACUUUUUAAUAUGUUUUGGAUGAGAAUGAAAUAUUUUAUAUAAACUUUAAAAACAGGGUCCAUGAAUGGAAAAAUGGUUGAUGGCAAUGGUCUAACGGGCCCAACUCUUGUUAAAAAUGGAGAAAAAAAUGCCAACAUAGCUGGCUAGCAUGAUGGAAAAAUCCAGACCCAUAUACAAUAUAUGAUUUUAUAAUAAUUUCAUGCGAUAAUAACAUGAAGGAUUUUUUUCAAUCAAAUAAAAAAUUUUAUUUAUUUAUCAAAAAAUUAUUAUGAAUUUAAUAUUUUCAAUAUGUAUUUUGAAAUAUACCACAUGAAAUGUUUAAAUAUGUGCAAUAUGUAUUUAGAAUUUAAUAUUAAUAAUUAUAUCUUCCUAACACAAGUUUACUUUAGUCAAUAAAAACUGGUACACCUUUUGUUUUUUCAUCCCUUUUGACUAAAGUGUACCAGUUUUUGAAGAAAGAUCAACUGGUACACAUUUUUUCCUCCUUUUUUAUCUUUCUUCUUCUUCUUUCGGCAUGGAAAAAAUGGAAAAUGACAUUAAUAGUCUCACAUGCCCAUCUUACACGGCAAAAUAGCUGGCUAGCAUUAACCUUUCAUUCAAUAUUUUUCCACAAAAGACUUUGACUUGGGUCAACUUUUCACUUCAUUACUUUUAUGGAAUUCAAUUUUAUUUAACUAAAAUCCAGUUCAGCUUGACUGCAGGUUCAUCCAUGAUGUAGCCCGAUCAAAUGGAUUCACUCAAUUGUUUCUGUAGGUUUACAUACCUUAUUUUUCAGGCAUGAAGAGAUAUAAUUAUCAAAAUUGUAUAUUUUAAUACUAUAAUUCAUAAAAUUAUUUUCUUUCUUUCUAUAUAUUUUAUUUAUGUUAUCAAAACCCUGAAAUAUCUAAUGCCUGUCAUUUUUCAUUUUUACCGAAAUCAUUUUUUUUCUCACACUUGAGAAAUUCAGCUGAAUUUUUUAAAUAUAGAUAAAUUUAAAAUAAAUAUUUUUUUACAAUAAUCUUUCUAAUUUACUCCUGUUCAAGAUGAGGCAGUUCCCAUUUGAGGUGGCUCUUCGUAUCCUUCAUCCACCAGACUCCACAAAUCUGGUGAGAUAAAGAUUGUCUCCAUUGGAGAACUUCAAUAAUCAUAAUGCUUGUUAUUUAUUUUUUUGUUUCUGUAUAUAUAUAAAAAAAAAUUAAAAAAAUAUAUAUUUAAAAAAAAAAUUAAAAAAAUAUAUAGCACUGAAAACAAGAUGCCGGAAUGCCCAGAAAAUAGUUAAAAACUGGUUGAGAAAGUUAAAAAAUACAAAGAUUAAAAUUUGAUAGUAUAUUUUUUUAUUGAUGAGAGUCCUAUUAACAAAAAAAAAAUUAAUUUAAGGAAAAAAAGUCAAAAAUCAACAUUCAAAAUUUAAUUUAAGGAAGAAAAAUUUAAUUUAUUUUUAGUUAAUUUUUUACUUUUAAAAAAGCAUGAUAAGUAUUUUUUUUUUUCUUAACACCACUGGUCGCUUCUUUGAAUAUACAUUAGUGUUGAUGGAUGAAAAUUUAAGUGGACGGAAUUUUAGGAUUUCUAGAAUUUGAGGACCCAUGCCGUGGAAGAAACUGCAUGAUGGAAAUGUUAUCUCGGACCCAACUUAUGGAAAAAAUGCAUGAUGGCACCAUCCAACGGACCCAUCUCGUGGAAAAAAGGAGCAGGACGGCAGUGUACUCGACAGGGCUUUAUUCUUCAACCUCUCGUAUAAUACAGAAGAACUGUGUAAAAUUUAUAUUUUUUUAAUUUAAUGAUGGGAGUUUAUAUUAAAUAUUUUUUUUCUUUAAAUUCAUGAAAAAAUAAAUUAAUGUUUUUUUACCUUAAAAAAACAUGAUAAUAAUUAUUUUUAUUUUUAUUUUUUGCAACACCAUUGAUCACUUCUUUGAACAUACAUUAUUGUUGAUGAAUGAGAAUUUAAGUGGAUAGAAUUUUAGGAUUUCUAGAAAAAAAAAAUUAUCUCAAAUUUUAUCAUAUUUUCUGUUUUUAUUUUUAUUAAUUUGGCUUUUCUUUCCUACUUUUUAAUAUUUUUUGGAUGAGAAUGAAAUAUUUUAUAUAAACUUUAAAAACAACACUGAGAUUGAUUCAUGUAUAUUCUGUGUUACUAUUAUUUAUAUAAAUGGAUGAAGCAUGAAAAUUAUAGAAGGCGAUUGUUACAAACUAAACUCUGAAGAUGAAAUUGUGAAAUCUCAAGGAGCAAACUAAAAAUUUAACAAAAUCUGACCAAGUCGUUUUAGAAGCCAAGAAAAAACAUAAAAAUAAUGGAAUCACAUCAACAUCACUAGCAUUAUAACCCUUUCAAAAAUUUAACAAAAUAAUGGAAUCACAUCAACUAAAAAUUCAAGAUGCAAUUGAGAAAUCUGAAGGAGAAAACUAAGAAUCUACCAAAAUCUGACCAAGUCGUUUCACAGGUGGCUUCAAGAUAAAAUAAAAGGAAUCACAUCAACAUCAGUAGUGGUUUCAAUCAAACACCUCAGAGGCAGGUAAUUUCCCAGUUCAAUAAAAGAACUAUCUCACCCAAUAAUUUAAGCUAUUAGGUGAGGUCAUAGGAUAUGAUUUAUAUUAUUCUCUAACACACCCCUUCAAGUGAAAGCUCUUUGGGCUUGAAACUUGCACAGACCCAUAUUAUCUUGUGCUUAAUUUUUAUCAAAUAAAUAGGGAUAGUGAGAUUCAAACUCUUGACCAUUUGGUCAUCAAGGCUCUGAUACCAUGUCAAAGAACCAUCCCAACCUAAUAGCUUAAGCUAUUAGGUAAGGUCUAAGAUAUGAGUUAUAUUAUUCUCUAACACAUAAAGAAACUGCUUUUUACAUCCUCAGCACGGUUGUUCUUCCUCUAUUUGUAUUUUUAAAAACUAAAAACAUAUCUGAAUAAAAAUAUAAUACAAAGAAAUUGUUUCUAGAAUUGUAUAUUUUUAAAAUAAAAAACAUAUAAAAACAUAUUUUCUUUAUCUUUACUAUUUUUUUUAUUUUAUAUCACGAUAAUCAAAUGUUGCCUAAUUAAAAGAGCACCAAAUCAUGAUAAAAAUUGCUCCCUUUUUAAUCUAGUUUUUUUUUUGUUAAAUUGAUAAUUUUGAUAAAUAACACAUUUAUUUUAGUUAAAAAAAAAACUUAUUAGUAGAGAGACAUUGGAGCUGGUUUUAAUUACUUCAAUAAAUAACACACUAAUUUACUUUUUGAUUGAUAGGAAAUGGCAGCUGGUUCUUAAUAUUCUUGCUGAUAGCCUUGCAAGAGUAAUGAGUGUGUUUUUUCUUCACAUUCCUAAUUUAUUUUUUUUGUGUAUUAUUUUUAUUUACUGGUUUCUUGUGAAGAAAUUGAAACCUCAAUCGCUUCAAUAUAUCUUAAACAUUUCCAUUAAUUAAUCGGUGGUUGCAUUCUUCUUUUUUUUUUUUCUUAUGAUAAUUGAGAACUAUAUUAAAAUAUUAAAAUUAAGGCAUGAUUUUCUAGACGUGAUUUCCAUAAAGAUAGUAGGGAGGGCUCUGUAUCAAUCAUCUUCAUGGAAAGUGAGCUGGCCAACGUUAGCUUUUUAUUCAUGUUUUUCCACAAAAGACUUUGACUUGGGGUCAAGUUUUUGGUUAAUCGACUUGGGGUCAAGUUUUCCACAAAAGGCGUGAUUUCAAUUUUUUUUUACAAUGUUAGCAAAAUCACUUUAAUUAUUCUUUCAAUAUUCCCGUACGUGUGAUUCACUGCUUGGUGAUUCUAAAGUCACCUAUUUAAACUUUAGUACGUUAGACAACUAAAUUUACUCUUUCACUCGGUAUUUAUUAUAUAUUCAAUUCGUUUAUAAAAUAAUGAUGUAGAGUUAACCCAUAGAACGGGUUGUUUUAGAAGCCGAUUGUUACAAACUAAAAUUUCAAGACGAAAUUGAGAAAUUUGAAGGAGCAAACUAAGAAUUUACCAAAAUCUGAGCAAGUGGUUUCUAGAUAAAAUAAAGGAAUCACAUCAACAUCACUAGUGGUUUCUAGAUAAGCAUAACCCAUAGAACGGGUUGUUCUUCUACUUAUCAGAUUCAUUUAUAUCAUAAAAUAAAUUAUAACAAGAAUGAAAUGAAAUUGGAUUUGAAAAUUCUCCAAACUUGGCAACGCAUGAUGUGUAACAGACCCAUAGAACGGGAGUGAGUUACAAAUGACCCAUAACUCUUGCCAACAAUUUUAGUCUCAAGAAGGUACGGAGAUUUUCCAUGGAUUCGACCUUGAUGAUUGUACAUAAAAUUUGCUUCUAACAUGGUUCCAAAUAUGGCAUCUUUCUGAUUAAUGAACAGGGCAUCUAUUGAUACUACAUAUGAACGAACACUUCAAUUUGUUGGUAAAAGGAAAGAUAUUGUACAGCUAUUGUAAUAUGUAUUUCUUUCUAUUAUGUUUACUGUUUUCCUAUUGUAUUUGCUGAGAUUGAGGCAAUCACAGUUAUUGUGAUUGACCUUCUUAGAAUAGAUUAUUUGCUUCUCUAGAAUAGAUUUUGCAACUUGUAUAAAUCACAUGUAUUACAGCCUUCUUAAUAUAUACAAUACACUACAGAGUUUAUAAUUCUUUCAUGGUAUCAGAGCACCAAUAUUGGUGAACCUAUUCACACCUUCCACCACCACCAAAAUUCAACCAACACAAAACAUAAACAUGGAUGACAACACAUCCAACUCACUCAUCUUGCAUGGUUCAGACUCACCAGGGCUUGUUCUUGUUUCCAAGCCUUUUGAAGGACACAAUUAUGGUCAAGGGAGCCGCUCAAUGCGUAUUGCCUUGAGUGCCAAAAACAAAUUGGGGUUCAUUGACGGAACCAUCACACCUCCAACAAGCACCGAUACCAAAUUUGUUGUUUGGCAAAGAUGCAACGACAUGGUGCUGUCAUGGAUUUUACAGUCACUAAAUCCUGAUAUUGCAAGCAGUGUGCUUUACUACACUAGUGCAUCUAUGGUAUGUAAUGACCUCAAGGAUCGAUUCUCACAAAGCAAUGACUCUAGGAUUUUCCAAAUCCGUCAAGAAAUCGCUGAGCAUCGACAAGGUAACCUCAUAAUUUCAGAAUACUAUACUAAACUCAAGGCUUUAUGGGACAAAUUAGAUUCCUCCCAUGAACCCAUCAUAUGCACCUGCGAGGGUUCCAAAACACAAGCCUCAAGAGAAGAAAAGGAGAGAGUCAUGCAAUUUCUAAUGGGUCUUAAUGAAGCUUACUCAACAGUACGUGGGUCGAUCCUCAUGAUGUCACCAAUCCCAGACACAUGCCAUGUUCAUGGAUUAAUCAUCCAACACGAGCAACAAAUGGAUGUGGCAAAUUGGCAGAUCGAACCCCAUGUUAUGCAGACUAGUCGCUACAUUAGAGGUAGUACAAGACUUGGGAAUCAAAUGAGAAUAAAAUCGCCUGGUGCUGGUAAUGGAGAAGGGAAGCACGAUCCUUAUCUGAAGAAGCAACUCAAUUGUUCUUACUAGGGGUGUUCAAAAAAACCGACCAACCGAUUAAACCGAAGAAACCAAGAAAAAAUUAACCGAAAUAACCAAAUCGAUAGAAAAAACCGAAAAACCGAUUAAAAAAUAAAAAAACCACCUGGUCCGGUUCUGUUCCGGUUUAAAAAGGCUUAAACCGAUUGAACCGGACCAAACCGAACCGGUUUAACUGAAUCUAAAAAAUAGUAUAAAAGGAAACUAAACCUAAAUAAUAAAUACCCUAACCUAACCCUACAUUUCCAAAGCCCCACCUUUCCAGCCGCCCCCCUUCCCUUUCCCUUUCCCUUUUCCCACUUUCCAUUCCAGCCACCCUACCUAUCCCUCCCUCCCCGCUCUCUCUCUCCCCCCCUCUUCCCUUUCCCUUUUCCUUUCCCAUUUCCCCCUUUCAAUUCCAGCCACCCCACCUAUCCAUCCCUCCCCGCUCUCUCUCCUCCCCCUUUACCCUUUCCAGUCACACCCCACCCCUCUCUCUCUCCCUCUCCUCUGUGCACAAGGAAGGCUUAAAGCAACUCAUUUUCUCUCAUAUUGUUGCCUUUCUACUCUCUACUUUACUUUAUGGCAGAAAACUUGGAUAAAAUCCUUGUUUCUGGUUUUAUUAACAUGCAGUUGUGCUAGCAAGGUCCUGGUAGUUUGCGCCUUUGCGGGAUGCUAUUGGAAUCUUUGUUAACAUGUAGUUGUGCUUGCUUGGAUAGAUCUAGUGAUUGUGAUUCAGCUAAGGGAGAUCUUUCAGAUCCCAACCGAAGGGCUUGGAUUCAAAGUUUUCAACGAUUGUUUUGAAUGUGAUUCGGCCAAGUUUGUCUAGUGAUUGUGAUUCGGCCAAGUUUUCUUUUAUUUAAUUUGUUUCAGUUAUAUUAACAAGGAAUAGUAUUUUUCGGUUCGGUUGAUUUUUUAUGUUAAAACCGGACCGAACCGGACCGUGAACACCCCUAGUUCUUACUGUGAUGGAGAACCCACACGGUGGAAAAUUGUUAUUAUAUCAAUGGUUUUCCUGUGGGCCAUAAGUUACAUGGAAAGAAUGUCAAGCCAAGGAAUAAAAGACCCAAUGCCUACACUGUUGACAGAGAUUCCACCUUAGUGCAUGACAGUAAGCCAAAUGAAAGUCCAACUUUCACCACCGAAGAAUAUAAUCAAUUGAUCGCCCUCUUGCACAACCAAUCCGAUAAUUUUUCACAUGCAAAUGCAACAGGUAUUGUUACACCCACCUGUAAUCUAUCACAACAUAACCCACAUUCAAACAUAUAUUGGAUAAUGGACAGUGGAGCGUCAGAUCACAUUUCAUGUUUUGCACUACAUAUAACAUGUUGCAUGCUCCUCAUGAUUUUAUUGGGUUAACCAAUGGAGGAAAAACAGAAAUUCACAACGUUGGGUCCGUUAAAGUAUCUGAAACAAUAACUCUUGAUGGAGUUCUUCACGUCCCUCAAUUUAAUGUGAACUUAUUAUAUGUGAGCAAAUUGACACGAGGAUUGCAGUGUAUUGUGAUUUUUUUUAAUAAAUUUUAUAUUGUGCAGGACGUGACCACAGGGAGGACGAUUGGCCUGGGGAAGCAAUUUAAUGGGCUCUACUACCUCACAGCUACCCAAAAUCCACAUCUAGCUCACCAUGUCCACCACACCUCCCAUUCGUCGAGAGAAAACAUCGUCAUCUCUUAAAUGUUGGACGGGCACUACGUUUCCAAGCCAACAUUCCUUUGUGUUUUUGGGGGGAGAGUUUACAAACUGCAUGUUAUCUUAUAAACUGUCUCCCAACACCCUUACUCAAACACAAAUCACCAUUUGAGCUAUUACAUCACAGAUCUCCUGAUUACUCUGUUUUACGAGUGUUCGGUUGUCUGUGUUAUGCCACCAAUCUUCUUCCUAAGCACAAAUUUGAUGCACGGGCUCGCUGAUUUGUGUUUUUUGGUUACCCCCUCGGUCAAAAAGGUUACCGUAUUUAUGACCUUACCACACAAAAAAAAAAUUCCUCCCAAGAUGUGAUUUUUCAUGAACACACAUUCCCUUUCUCUACAUCUCCACCCGAAACCCAAGAUGACUCUACUGUGCUACCCAACUCUUCCACCGACCCAUUGCUUCUACCUGUACCCAUCCAUAACCAAAUCCUACCGCCUCAACCAGUCUUCCUUGAUUCCCCUUCCAUUCAUUCUAAUCCUCCCCUACUUCCCAUCACGUCUACUCCACCCACAACCAUCCCCGACUUAUCUUCACCUCCUUCACCCAUCAUCCCAUACCUUCCCUCCUAAUCCCCUACCCCUUCCAUAGCCGUCAAUCCAUUGCCCAUUCGCCAAUCCAGCUGCCCCACAAAACCCUAUACCCGCUUCAAAGAUUACCAAACUCACCAUACCACUCUGCUUGCUCCUACUGAUCCCUCCUCCGGCACAUCUGGCACCCGCUGCCCCAUCACUCGGUAUGUGUCUCACUCUAAUUUCUCUGCACCUCAUCGUACAUUUAUCAAUCAUAUUUCUCAAUUGGUUGAACCCAGCUCCUAUGAGGAGGCACAGCAUCACCCUCAAUGCGUUGCCGCUAUGAAUUCUGAAAUCACAACUUUAGAGGAGAACAACACCUGGUCUUUCACUUCAUUGUUGCAGGUCAUCGUUCGAUCGGCUGCAAAUGGUUUUUAAGAUUAAAUACAAGUCGGAUGGUUCCAUUGAAAGAUACAAAGCUCCGCUCGGUUGCCGGGGCUAUACCUAGCGUGAAGCAUCGAUUACACCGGAACCUUUGCUCUUGUUGCUAAGCUCAUCACCAUUUGUUGCCUCCUUAUUUUUGUUGGUUGUCUACAGUUGGCCUCUACAUCAGAGGAUGUGCACAACGCUUCUUACACAGCGAUCUCCAUGAAGAAGUCCAUAUGCUUCCACCGCCGGGGUAUCGGCGCCAAAGGAGCACAUGGUUUGUUCACCUCCACAAAUCCAUAUACGGUUUGAAACAGGCGUCCCGAAGCUGGUUUUGUAAGUUUUCAACUGCCAUACACACAUUGGUUUUUUUUCAAUCCAAAGCCGAUUAUUCAAUGUUCACACAAACACAGGGCAAAUCUUUCACUGUCGUUUUGUUAUACAUUGAUGAUAUGAUAAUUACUGGGAAUAAUGAUGCUGCCAUCCGAGACCUUAAACAUUUUCUCAGCACUCAUUUCAAAAUUAAGGAUCUCGACCUUUUAAAAUACUUCAUUGGGGCUGAGAUUGCACAGUCCAAAUCUGGCAUUUCUUUUUGCCAGCAAAAGUAUACACUGGAUAUCUUGGAAGAUACAGGUUUGCUUGGUUCCAAACCUGAAAAGAUUUCUAUGGAUACAAAUGUUGCUCUUAUGCCUAUAAGGAGUAACCCCCUUACAGGCCCUACUUGUUAUCGGAGACUUAUUGGACGAUUAAUCUAUCUUACCAUUACAAGGCCUGAAAUCACAUAUGUAGUGAACACACUCAGCCAAUUUAUGCAUGACCCUCAGAAGCACCAUUUUGACACAGCACGUCGGCUCCUUCAUUACCUCAAAGGAGCUCCUGGCCAAGGGAUGUUAUUCUCCUCGAAUGGGCCACUACACUUGACUGAAAUCACAUAUGUAGUGAACACACUCAGCCAAUUUAUGCAUGACCCUCAGAAGCACCAUUUUGACACAGCACGUCGGCUCCUUCAUUACCUCAAAGGAGCUCAGCACCCGUUUCAAAAUUAAGGAUCUCGACCCUUUAAAAUACUUCAUUGGGGCUGAGAUUGCACAGUCCAAAUCUGGCAUUUCUUUUUGCCAGCAAAAGUAUACACUGGAUAUCUUGGAAGAUACAGGUUUGCUUGGUUCCAAACCUGAAAAGAUUUCUAUGGAUACAAAUGUUGCUCUUAUGCCUAUAAGGAGUAACCCCCUUACAGGCCCUACUUGUUAUCGGAGACUUAUUGGACGAUUAAUCUAUCUUACCAUUACAAGGCCUGAAAUCACAUAUGUAGUGAACACACUCAGCCAAUUUAUGCAUGACCCUCAGAAGCACCAUUUUGACACAGCACGUCGGCUCCUUCAUUACCUCAAAGGAGCUCCUGGCCAAGGGAUGUUAUUCUCCUCGAAUGGGCCACUACACUUGACUGCAUAUUACGAUGCAGACUGGGCACGAUGCCCUUUCACAAGACACUCAAUUACUGGAUAUUGUAUUUUUCUUGGCACGUCCCUCAUAUCAUGGAAAAGCAAGAAGCAAGUCACUGUCUUAAGGUCAUCCGUAGAAGCUGAAUACCGGUCCAUGGCAGCCACCGCUUGUGAACUUACUUGGUUACGAUACCUCUUACAGGAUCUACAAGUACCCCAUCGCCAACCUGCCACCUUACUUUGUGACAACAAAGCUGCCCUCUAUAUUGCAGCCAAUCAAUUUUACCAUGAACGGACCAAGCACAUCGAAUUGGAUUGCCACACCGUUCGUGAGAAAAUUCAAAAUGGCGAAAUCAAGACAACUCAUGUGAAAACAGAAUUCCAAGUAGCUGACAUUUUCACCAAGCCACUGCCUGCACCCCUAUUCCAAUCCUAUCUUCACAAGUUGGGUGUAAUCGACAUUCACACUCCAACUUGAGGGGGAGUGUUAAAAGGAAAGAUAUUGUACAACUAUUGUAAUAUGUAUUUCUCUCUAUUAUGUUUACUGUUUUCCUAUUGUAUUUGCUGACAUUUUCACCAAGCCACUGCCUGCACCCUUAUUCCAAUCCUAUCUUCACAAGUUGGGUGUAAUCGACAUUCACACUCCAACUUGAGGGGGAGUGUUAAAAGGAAAGAUAUUGUACAGCUAUUGUAAUAUGUAUUUCUUUCUAUUAUGUUUACUGUUUUCCUAUUGUAUUUGCUGAGAUUGAGGCAAUUACAGUUAUUGUGAUUGACCUUCUUAGAAUAGAUUAUUUGAUUUCCUAGAAUAGAUUCUGCAACUUGUAUAAAUCACAUGUAUUACAGCCUUCUUAAUAUAUACAAUACACUACAGAGUUUACAAUUCUUUUAAAGAACCGUAAAUCUCCCUAUCUUAAGUUUAUUACAAGACAAGCCUGUCAAUAUAGCCAUCAGAAUUUUGUUUACUGUGGAAAAUCCAUUUACAACCCACAACAUUUUGACUGGGAUUGGAAGGUAGCAGUUCCCAUGUUCCAUUUCAAACAAGAGCAUUAUAUUCUUCAGACAUUGCCUCAUGCCAUUUUGGAUCUUUGAGAGCUUGGGCUGAUGUGGUGGGUUCAAGAGCAAGAGGUUUGGAUAAUUGGGUGUGAAGAUUUAGUUUUUGAAGAGGUUUGCGAAUGUUAUUUUUUGCCCUUGUUUGCAUGGGAUGAUUCGGUUGGGUAGCAGCUGGCAGGGGAUUUGUGGCAGUCAUUUGAUGUGUUUGGUUUUGUGUAUUGGUUGUGUUAAGAUGAGAAGUGUCAGGUACAGGGGCUAUAGUGUGUGGUUGUUUUAAUUAUUAGUGGGGACCCAAAAAUGGGUUACAACAAUAACAAAGAUAGACACUUUGAGUUAGAGAGCAUUCGAGAAAACGAGAUUCCAGUUUAUGACAAGUAUAGCUAGGGGCGAAGCCAAUGAUAACAUAGACAAGCAAAACCUUGAGUUUUGAAUAAUUAGGAGGAGUACCCAAAAAAAUUUCAUAAGAGGAGAAGAGAUUUAAUGUUUGAGUUGACAUUCGAUUGAUUAAGUAGACAUUUGUUGUAAGCCCUCUAUGUGAAAAAUCAUAAAUUGACUAGUUUUAUGUAAAACAAAAACAAUCAUAACUCUCGAUCGGGUUAUCAAAAACUUCUGAAAAUUACGUGGAGUCUUCUAAUAUGAUGCCUUAGCUUAGGUUAAAAUUUUAGAAUUUUUGGAGAAAUUCAGAAAUUUGACGAAAAAUCACAAUUUGACUAGUUUUGCGUUAUUGGACGUAAUUUUUAAUAUGACCAUCAAAUUGAUCUGAAAUUUUAUGAGGAACUUUAAAAUAUAUUGAAUAAAAUCUGGUUAAAAUUUUAAGAUAAAUGGAGCUAGGUAGUACUAACAAAAAAAUAAGGACCAUCAAAUAGAAGCAAAAGGACUCAUUAAGGGUAAAAUGGUUAUUUUCCAUUAAAAAAUAAAACAAAUCAGCCCUCCUUUUCUUUAAUAUGCUACCAAAUGGGCAGAAGCAGAUUGGGAAAAGAAAGAACGUAAAAGAACGUGAGAGAAAGAGAGAAAAGUAAGGAAAAAAUAAGAAAAUUAAGAGAAUAACCUUGUAAACUUGCAAAGUUCAACUUAGUACCAACUUAGAAGUGUUGUCGAUAACUUGAUACCAACAAAAAUAGAGAAAACUCUGCCGAAAGUUUUAAAAAAAAAAUUAUUCCAUUAGUAAAAAAUAUUUGAGAUUUCAUGACAUUAUAAUUUGAGGUUGUUAUAGUUGUAGCAAAGGCAUUAGACCAAUGACUUAAAGGAAUGGAAGCAUGAGAGAGAAGGAUGAGACCAGUUUUAAGAAUGUGAAGAUGAUGUUGUUCCGAAAAGUCAUUGUGUUCGGGUGUGUGAAGUGGAAUAGUAAGAUGAGAUAUACCAUGAAGAGCAAGAAAAUUAGCAAGUGUAACAUAUUCACCACCAUUAUCAGACUACAAUGUAUUGCUGCUCUGAUUGAAGUGUUUUUCCGUAUGUAAUAACUUUGAAUCUAAUGAAUAUGUCUUUUACUUGUGAUUUUUGUUUUAGAGGAUAAAACCAAAUAUACUUAGUAAAAUGAUCAACAAAAAUUACAUAGCCAUCAUAAGAAAUAAUUGGUGAAGUCCAUACAUGUUAAAAAAUUAUUUGAAGAGGUCGAUUAGAAGUAAUGGUAGAAUUGAAAAAUGAAAGUUUGUGACUCUUAUUCCAAUGACAUGCGUUACAAGAAAAAAUUUAAAUGCUGGAAGAAGAUAAAUCGAGUUUGUUUGUAGAAAUGACAUGCUAUAAAAUAGGAAAGGCUGGGUGUCCCAAUCUAUGAUGUCAUUCGGAGAAGGUGGUUUUGACAAUGGAAAAGGUAAAUAGAGGUGAAGAUAUCAGCCACUUAUAUACACCAUCCUUUGCUUUACCUGUCAAAAGCGUUGCUCCUAUAUGAAGAUCAUUUACAAGAAAAGAAUACGGUAAGAAUUCAAUUGAAGCAUUGUUGGACAUACAGAAUUUGGAAAUUGUAAUCAAAUGUUUUUCGUGCUGGGUACACAGAACAUUGGUUAAGGAAAAAUGAGCAUUAGAACUGCGAAGAGAAAUGGAACCAGUAUGUGUUAUGGGAAGCCCUGUGCCGUACCGAUUUUUGUCAUUGCACUAAACAAUGUAUCUUGAUUUCCAUACCGAUUAUACCAUGGGUUUUGUUUGAAAUUUUUAGACAACUGCUGCGCCCUGUGUGUUCAAACCUUGUUGAAAUUUUUUAACGUUGGCUGAGCUCACAACAACCAAAAUUAUUUACGUAGUUGACCUUAGCUGACUUGAACUUUUCUUGGCAAUUCCUUACAAAUGGGCAUAUACAAGGAAGUUUUGGCACUACUGCUGUUCAUUAGUCCCUUGCCUCUUUUUUGUUUCUUUUUCCUUUUCUUUUUCAGGAGUUUGGUGCAAUGUAUGGCAUCGCAUGGCACUGCAUUGUUGGCAAGAGUUAUGGGUCAUUUGUAACUCACUCAAUCAAGAGCUAUCUCACCAUGUCCAAGAAAAGUCUAUCAACUUCACUAGCCGUUGCUGGAUAAGUAAACAUAUAAGCUUUUCAAUUAAAAAGCACAGAGGCAGUCAUGCUUGACUGAUAAAAGCCCAAAAGUUAUAACUUGAGCUGGUUUUAAUUAUUUCGAUAAAUAACACAUUUAUUUUUAAUCUUAUUAUUAGUUUUUUCGGUUAGGUAUUGCCAUUUAGUGGCAAUACCCCACCACUAAGUUGGUGGUGGCUCCAUUAAUGCCACAAUUAGUGGCAUGAAUUAAGGGAUUGACUCCCAUGUGCAGCUGCUGGAAAGAAGAAGAGAAGCCACCAUUAGCCUAUAAAUGAGGCAUGCAAAGAGAGCCAAAGUGUGAGAGAAAAACGUGAGUGUGUGCAAGAGAGAAGAGAAAGAGAAGAGAAAGGGUUGCUGCCAUGAAGCUGCAAGGCAGCAAGAGAGAUGGGAGUUGAGUGAUGAGAUCCUCCUCCAUGUAUUUAUUGUAUCCUUUCUCUAAUCUAUAAUGAAAUGGACUCUCUCCCGUGGAUGUAGGCGGUUUUGCCGAACCACGUUAAAUAUUGUGUCUCAGUGUGCUUGCCCCUCCGUUGAGCAUCAGUCAAGCAUGCCGGCGGAGUGGCUGGCCACGCGCGCCACGCGUCACACGUCACACGCGUCUUCUUCACCCGGAAGAGUUGACCCGACCCGAAUACAGCUGACCUGACCCAUGUGAACAGUAGACAUGAACAGUGAUGCAUCAUGAACAGUUGCAUGCGAGGGAUGACAUCAGCCUGAUGUACGAUGACAUCAGCAUGCAUUUGACCAGGCAACAUACAUGUCAGCAUAGUGGGACCCACCGACCACGUCAUCAGCCGCGAGCCGAGUUGAGCCAAGCCGAAUUGGAGCCAAGCCGCGAGCCGAGGGAUAGGAUCCAGUGUAGCUGAUCCUACGUGCAACCGGAUCUGAGAUUGAAUCUGAGUCGUUUAUGAGGCCAGAAUUGUUUUGAUCAAAUCUUAGCCAUCUGAAGUGCGAUUUGGGCGAUUCAAGACAUGUUUCCAGCUAAUUUGAUCAUUCCGGAUGCAAUGGUAUGGUCCGAUCGUUGCGAUUGGAGACCAAAAAUGGCGGUGGUGAAUUAUUAAAGAGAGAUUGCCCGAUGAGGAGGCAUCUGAAGGUCAUUAUGGUGGUUGAUAGAGAUGAAGAAGAAGAAGGUGCAUAUGUUUACCCAAUUACAUGUGCUGAACUGUUAAGUGAAGAAUUUAAUGCCUCGAAGGAAGGCAAAAUUGGGAUACUCUGGACACCCGGUUAUGUGGACAAGUUGAGGUGUAGAGUGAAAACUGACGAAGACCAAUCUUGGCGAAUCUAAGCAUGGUAGUCUCGCUAGAUGUUGAGAAAUCAUGUAUUAAACCUGUAUAUUCCAGAUCACUUGUAAAGAAAAGCUGCAACAAAGCUAGCAAAUGAUUGUAUAUACGGAGAGAUAGUACGAUGGAUAGAUAUGGCCUAAGAAGUUCUGUCUAGGAGAUUGGGUUUUAAGCGGGACCAGUGUGACCCCUCCAAUCUUUCCUGGGAACUUGCUUAGUGGAAGGAUUAUCCAUAUGGUACUAUUUUCAUAUAUGUAACAGUUUGUAAUGAAACUGGUGAAGACUAGCAGGAUAACGGCACAAGGGGAACAGUUGGGUUCCGUAUGAUCAAGGAUCUGAUGGAUUGGUGAUUUCUCCAAAGAAGUUAGAUUCGGUGACUGUGAUUUCUUGAGGGGAGAAUUGAUGAGGACCCUGAUAAUGGAAGAGAAAUACAGCAAGAGGAUGAAGAUUGGCACCCUAUUUUGACUUAGAUAGGUGUUGUGACGGGAUGAGCUGUUGUCAAACAUAAGCAAGGAAUAGGGAGAAAUCUGGAGAACAUAUAUUGCACGAGGGCACAUGGAGAUUAUAUAGGAGUACCCGUAGGAUCCUAACGAGAUACUGUAUUGAGACAACAGGUGCAAGGAGAAGAAGAGUUCCCAAAUGAAGCUCAGAGCAGAGACUGUGUGAAGGAUGGACAACAGGAAGUCUCAUGUGCUCUUGAUGAAGACAACACACGAGGACCUUUCCAAUGCAUGCAAGGAUGGAAAGAUGAGCUGUUGCAGAGGCACCUAAUUGAGGGGGUGCAAACGCCUGUGAUAAAAGGCGACCGCUAUGAUGAAAGGCGAAGACACCAAAGAGAGGUGGUGUAGGUGGAGCUGUCAAGCAGAAAGGCGUAGAAGCUCCAAACAUAGAAAUCGAGGUGGAGGAUUGCGAGGAGUAUACCGCAACUUUCUCUUUCUAUGUAGUCAGUGGCAGUAAUCUCUCCCAAGUCCACAUGGUGGUAGAGAAUCUUGGAGCCACGAAGCAUCCCGAUGAAGGAGGAUGACUGCCUAUGAAAGCAAAGACACCUAGAGAGAAGGUGUGAGGCCAUGAUAGAGCCCCAGUUCAGACCGCCUAUGACAACGGGCGAAGACACCUUAGAGAAGGUGUGAGGGCCAUGAUAGGAGCCCCAUUUCAGACCGCCGCAUGACGACGAGCGGAGACACCGAGAAGAAGGUGUGUGGGCCACGAUAUGAGCCCAUUCAGAACGCCCCAGAGCCAAUGUGAUGGCUAGAUAUAGUGGACAGGUGUAUAGCCAAAUGAAGUGGCUAUGAUGAGUAUGAAGACAAAUGCAGGAUUGACUUUCAUGGAUAUUGCCCCCAUGCUAAAGAUCAAUGAGCUAGAAGACAUUUGCCUUGGACAAUAAGUGGUGACUUGUGGAGCAUUAAGACGCGCUGCUAUGAAGGAGCAGAGGGCAUGCGCAGGUUCCGGGAACGAGUUGACUCUUGUCAAGGUGGUGAGCUCGGUAAUGGCAUUGUAAUACUCAGAGUAUGAAGAUAGAUAUGGAUCAACCUUUAAUGGGUUGCCCCCAUGAUUAAAGGUGGAGAGCUACCUGGACUCUUACGACUAAGAGCGAGAGACUCACGGAGAAGUAAGGCGUGGUUCCUAGGGUGGAACAGAGGGCAGACGCAACUCCUGGAUGAGUAGACUCUUGGAAGAGUGGUGAGCUUGUGAUCACAUUGAAAUACUCAAUGACUAUCGCACUUGGGAAUAUUCGUAUUCGUUUGAGGGGGUGUUGUAAGCCUUGGUGUGAGGCUUGGUGAAUCAUUCCGGACCGAGCAUGGUUGAUACGCUCGAAGGGGAAUGUUGUGUUGAAGACGCUCUCAGAAUGGUAAGCUUUGAAAAGAUGCAGAAUGCAAGCUUGUGUUGAAGAAGCAAGAGGACAAUUGACCACAUAAAUGGCAAAGGGGGUGAUUGUUAGGUAUCGCCAUUUAGUGGCAAUACCCCACCACUAAGUUGGUGGUGGCUCCAUUAAUGCCACAAUUAGUGGCAUGAAUUAAGGGAUUGACUCCCAUGUGCAGCUGCUGGAAAGAAGAAGAGAAGCCACCAUUAGCCUAUAAAUGAGGCAUGCAAAGAGAGCCAAAGUGUGAGAGAAAAACGUGAGUGUGUGCAAGAGAGAAGAGAAAGAGAAGAGAAAGGGUUGCUGCCCAUGGCAGCAGCCCUGCAGCUGCAAGGCAGCAAGAGAGAUGGGAGUUGAGUGAUGAGAUCCUCCUCCAUGUAUUUAUUGUAUCCUUUCUCUAAUCUAUAAUGAAAUGGACUCUCUCCCGUGGAUGUAGGCGGUUUUGCCGAACCACGUUAAAUAUUGUGUCUCAGUGUGCUUGCCCCUCCGUUGAGCAAAUAUCAGUACAUCACCGGUCGCCGGAUUCCGCCCCAACAUUUUCUUAAUUUUUUGAUUGAUAAGAAAUGGCAGCUGGUUCUUAAUAUUCUUGCUGAUAGACUUGCAAGAGUAAUGAGUGUGUUUUUUCUCCACAUUCCGAGUUUGUUUUACUUGUUGAUAGUCCUUUAAACAUACUAUUAACUCGCUCCCAGAAUGGAUAUCAAUGAAAGCGAUGGUUAGCACCUGGCUUGCAGAUGCAAUCAUGUAUGAACUCUGGGCGGGGUCUGAUGGAACCUCUGCCCGCACAAUUUAUCACUCUGGCCUCCCUUGGUUGAUAGGAAAGGCUCUAUUCAUGAAACAAGUGUACUUUGUUAAGCAGCGACUUGGGAUAACUAAAGAAAAUGCUGAACGAAGGGAAGCAGAGGUUACACUUCUAUCAUUGAUGAUCUUUUUCUGCAACUUGUUGAUAUCAAAUCUGUGCACAUACACUAGUGUUAGAAAGCAUACAUCUUUGGAAUGAUUUUACCCGUUUAUAUAUUGCUUCAUUUUCUGUUAAUUUUCCUUGACCAUGGCCUUGCGAUUUUUUUAUUUUAAUUUAUGGAUAGAUUUACAAGAGAGCGAAAAUUGCAUAUGGAGCUUUGUCAACCACAUUAGGGAAUCACACAUUUCUUUUUGAAAGAUGUUUAUUUUUUAUAUCGUGGUUAAUAUAUAUAUUUUUCAUUUUUUACCUGAAAUCAUCUAAGAUAUUUUGGUUUUUAUGUUUUGAAUUCAAAUUUUAAGUUUGAGGUCUUGACUAUGCAUUGAUUAUACACCCAACUUCAUAUUUCUGUUUGUGCAGGCCAUCUAGUUUGGACAAAUAUUUCCUUGGGCAUGUCAUUUUCACUCUUCAAGCAUUUCCUGUGAGUCACUUCACCAAUUGUCUUCUGUGACAUGAGGCUGUGAGAGCUGAAUGCUGGCAUUUGUAUGGCUAGAACAAUUAAUUACAGCUGAAAAUGUGGUAAUACAUGACCUGGGAUGAUGGUGCAAAAACAAUUACAUUAUUACCCAGAAAAAGUCACAAUGAUCGAAGUAUUGUCUGCAUGUUCCACCAUAUGCACAAUGUCUAUGUUGCGAGUGAAUUAAUUGAUAUGUAUGCAAAAUGUGGGAGCUUGGAUGAUGCACUCAGGAUUUUUGAGAGUAUGCCUCAUAAAAAUGAGGUUUCAUGGAAUGCCAUGAUUUCUGCUCUUGCUUUCCAUGGGCAGGCCCAGGAAGCAUUAUCAUUAUUCAGAGGCAUGUCAAAGGAUAAUGGCACUGUUCAGCCUAAUUGACAUCACUUUCAUAGGAGUACUUGUUAUGAUCCUUGUUAAAUUUUUAGGGAAUGGAAGUUCUGGUGAACCAGAGCAUUAGGGAGACUUCAUUACAAUCCUUAGCAUUGAUUGUGGAGAAGUGAGAAAUAUCAUUCCUAGUGAAGUCCCAAGUGUUCUUGAAUCAAAGCUCCAGGUUAAUUUGUUCUCUCAACAUGCUUGCUUAUAUUUUCCUUUAUUAAUCUUGUACACAAAAGAACUGUAUAUAGGCAGCCUCGUUUCAUUAUUGUUCUAUAAAUAGAAAUUGGAUGCGGACAUCAAGGACGCGAGGAUUGCAUAUUAUUUUGAUUUCAUUGCUGGGACAAGCACUAGAGGCCUUAUGACAUCCAUGCUUACUGCUCCAAAUGAUGAAAAACGACCUUUGUUUGCCGCAAAAGAUAUUGUAAGUUUUAUCAAGACCACAAUCCAGGCACCAAGUAAUUUAUGGUAUUUUUGAGCUACGGUUUUUUUUAUGUUGCUUUUUUUAUGGUAUUUUUGAGCUCAGGUUUUUUUUAUGUUGCUUUUUUUAUGGUAUUUUUGAGCUACGGUUUGGAAUUGUACAGAAGUAGUAUUCUAUGGUGAUUCAUCCUUUAGGGUGUGGGGUUUAUUCUUUGUUAAAGAAAAGGAAUGUGUUUUUCCGGUGCUAAAAAGAGGAAAACACUUUCCUUUUAGAAAAAGGGUUGUGUUGUCCUUGGUUGGAAACCACUUUCUUGGAAAGUGGUUUCUCAAAGUUUACCAAACAUAGAAAAGAUGGAAAAAUUGAUUCCAGGAAAAUAGUUUCAUGAAACAAACAAGGUUAGUUUUUUAAUGCUCCCUUCUUUGCUUUCUUAACUUUCUCCUUGUUCUGGCUAUUGCAGCAGGAAAUAUGAUAAAGCUAAAGGACAUGCUAGGAAGAGAAGAAGUGAGAUCCUGAAAUGCAUUUUGCUUUGUCAGUGUUUUAAGCAAGUGGAGGUAAUUAAAGAUUCUAACAAGAGACUUAACUUUAUUUUCAUAUAUUCUUUCACUGGAUAUUUGUCCAUGUCUAAUUGGAUCUAUUAUUCUUGUAAUUCUUGUUUUCUAGUUGUUUUUAGAGGAAGUUUUUUUUCUUUUAAGCGGUGAAAGCUAAUGAUAUCAGGUUUUCUAGUUUUCUGCACAUCACUUUUGGAACAUUAGAGACCUAGUCUGAGCGUAAUCAAAUGAAUUUAGACACCGUUUGGCAUUGCGUUCCAAACGGUGUUUUGCCCAAAUUUAAAUUAUUUUUUUUUUUGCUAAAAUUGAGUUCGGUUUGUACUUUUUGGAUCGUUUUGAUGUGCUGAUGUCAAAAAUGAAAAAACAUCAUUGGCAUGUAUUUCAGCACGAAAAGCUAUUUGAAAAGCAUUGCGGCAUAUGCUGGAUGUUUGAGAUUAUAGUAUUGAGAAGUGGGUUGAAACUUAGAAGCCAUCAUACACGUGGAGAUGAAUUGUUAUGUGGAAUCUAGCUCGAGACUGCUUUAAUUCAUUUGCUCACCCGGGGAGUGCUGUCGACAGAAUGCUAUGUUCACAGGAUCAAUACUCUCGGUUACUGAAGCUUUAGAUCAAGCAAAUUCUCCAAGUGCCACAAGCUUAUAUACAAUCAGUGAAAUAAAUUUGAAUUGGUAUUUGUGUUGUAAUGUAUCCCCUUUGAUAUAAAAUAUUUUUGGAUAUUUGUGUUGUAAAUUUGAAUCGAUCAUAUGUGAAAAUCAAGUAAUAAUGUAAUAUAAAAGGGAAGUAAAAACUCAUGGAAUUGAAAAGCCCCCGCUGUGUAAAAACUCACAAAACCAAAUGGAACUAUAUAAAUUAAUACAACAUCGCUUGAGCAUGCCUUUAAGCUUGUUUAAAUCUUAAAACUAGAAUACAUAACGAUACACCAAGUCUUAGUACCAUGAAAACCCAAGCUUGGAUAAAAUGGGAAGAUUUUCCACUAGAAAAUAAUAGCAAUUGUUGAUACUAACCUCGAUAAAGUGAAACCAAGCUCGUCGCCAAUAUGGAUUUAUGUAUAGAACUGAAACUAUUACCAGCAGCACUAUGAGGUAUGCAACCUCAAAGGUCACAUAGAAAACCUCCAUAUCCAUGAAGCCACCAUUAUCUUCAUUGUUCGUUGAAGUUGGCGUUGGUGAUGGUGGCAUAGCCACACCACAUAUUUUGGGUAGCAGUUCUCCAUAAAGAAAAGGGUUGUCCUUGUAGCAACUCUCAUCAAACGUGGCAAAAUGUGCAACUCUUGCAGGAGUCCUGCCGGACAGAUUAUUGUGUGCCACACUGAAAAACUCUAGAGAAAAUAGUUCAGUAAGUCGAGGUGGGAUUUCUCCAUCCAAAUUGUUGUAGGAAAGAUCCAAGCUCUCUAUUUCCUUUAAGUUUGAAAAUGUUGGUGGAAUUGGUCCGGUCAAACCGUUGUGCGAAAGGUUCAAUGCCUUGAUCAUACUGAGGUUUCCAAAUUCAGGAGGAAUCUUUCCGGUGAAAUUGUUGCAUGAGAAAUCAAUUCCUAUGAAGUACCAUAUAUUGUCGCCUCUAUAAGAAAGGGAUACAUUCUUUGUUGUAAACUCGAAGGAUUGUUGUGAUGAGGAUAUAGAAUCAUAAAAUUGUAUAACUGUGGGAAAGGAUGAGUAGAUAUCAUCCAAGAGAGGAUGUUACCAGAAAGGUGAUUAUGAGAAAGAUCAAUCAAGGUUAAUUGGUACAACCUGGAUAAUUGAAUUGGGAUUUCACCUUCAAGAUUGUUAUAACUCAAGAGUAGAAAUCUCAAGUUAGAUAGCCUAUCAAUCCAUUCUGGAAUUGUACUAGUUAAAUUAUUAUGGGAAAGAUCCAAUGCCACUAUCUUAGCGGGGUCAUAAAAUGCCAUUGUGAUCGGUCCUUGCAACUUAUUUCUAGACAAAUAAACAUAUCUCAAAUUUAAAGAAGUGCCAAAUCUAGGUGGUAAACGACCGGAGAAAUUGUUCCCUGAUAAGUCCAAGAAUUCAAGAGAAGACAUAUUCCUUAUCCCUUCAGAGAUCUGCCCUUGCAAAUUGUUGUUGGACAGGUCUAACACUUGCAUCGAGGUAAUGUUACCCAAUGAAAAAGGAAUGCUUCCAUUAAAACCAUUGUCAGACAUAAGUAAAACUGCUAACCCUGGCAAACGAGCUCUGAUUUCUGAAGGUAUUUGGCCUUGGAAGUGAUUCAUGGAUAUACUUAGGAAUGAUAAAUUCACAUGAGAAUUCUUUGGCAACAAGAAUGGACCCGAAAGAGAACAGUUUUCUAAAUAAAGUACUUAUAGGUAUGUGUUGUUCUCAAUCAACCAAUUUGAAAACUCUCCCUUUAUUUGGAUGUUUGCAAGAUCCAAAUAUUGCAGGCUAAACUGAUGGUAAAAGAACUUGGGUAAUGCACCCGCAUCUUGUCCACGACCUCUUAAAUAGAGGGACUCUAACUGGAACUUUGGGCUCAGAUUAUGAUCAUUUUCUUCUGUGAAUAUUUCAUUACCCAACCCAUUAAAAGACUUGAGUUUUGAAAGGUUGUAUAAUGGGCUCAAUGACAUAGGAAUCUUCAAGUUGUUGGAAGAGAGAUCUAGCCGUUGAAGGGAAGUCAGAUUUGCCAGACACGGAGGCAAGAAACCACUGAGAUCAUUGUCAUACAUAUACAGCUCUUGGAGAUGAUUUAAGUCACAUAGGCCUGGUUACAUUAUAAUAUAGAGAAAAUUAAAACUUUGAGUGUCUAAUAGAAAAUACAUAACCUAGAGAGAGAAUAAUGCUUUGUUUGUUUCAAGGAAAACGAAUUCCUGGAAUUCGUUUUCCUUACUUUCCCAUGUUUGGUAACAAUAUGAAACAGUAAGUCAACGGAAACUUAAUUCCGGUCAACAUAAAAUCGUUGUUUUGAGAAAGGAAAGUGUUUUCCUUCUGUUAAAGAAAGGAAAACACUUUCCUUUUGGCGUGCGUAGCGAACGCCUGCCCAAUGAAUUAUUAUUCACUUGCUACAGUAGCAAGUGAAUUAUAAUUCACUGCUACUGUAGCAACGAAUUAUAGUCCUGGGUUUUUUAUUAAAUCAAAGUUUAAUUAAGUCCUCAAACUCAUUAAUUCUUCAAUUAAACUCUUGAUUUCAUUAAUUAAAAUAAUCUAAAAUUUAAUUAAAUCAAUUCUCCAAUUAAACCCUUGAUUUAAUUAAUUAAACUAGUCAAGAGUUUAAUUAAAUCUUUAAACUUCCAAUCAUGUUGCCCUUAACCCAAAUUUUAAUUCAUCCUUCAUUUAUUUUAUUUUUAUUUUUCAUCAUCUUUUUUUUUAAUAAUAAAAAUAAAAAAGGUCAAAAAUUGGGUUAUGACAAUUGUAAGUGAUUAAAUAUUUUAUAUUAAAUAUUUUAUAUAUAUUAGAUAAACUUGAAAAAAAAUUUAAUUCAUUAAUAAAUUAUUUUCCAGUUCAUUUUCCAUAACACAACCAAACAUUGGAAAGUGUUUUCCAAUUCAUUUUUCAUAACACUACCAAACAUCGGAAAAUAUUUUCCCGGAAUUCACUUUCCCCGGAAUUCAUUUUCCAAAAGGAAUCCACUUUCCUACAAACAAACGGAGCCUAAGAGUCAUUAACCUUACCUUGAGCUAUAGGUAUUUGGCCAUCUAGUUUGCAGCUCACCAAAAUCAAAGUUUUGACAGAGGUCAUUGUUCUGAUUGAUUGUAAGAUGUUGUUAUCAAGAGUAUUGGAACUCAAAUCUAAGUAUUCCAAGUUCUUGAGAUCAAGGAAGCCUGUCACGAUCAAUUAAACAAGAAAUUAUAUUAGCAUAGAAGGAAUUAAAAUUAGAAAUAAUUCAUUACUUAUUAAUCAUGGCUAAAAAAACAUAAAAACAUCAAGUAAGUGUAGAAAUUGUAUUGUCCAAUUAAUAAAAGGUUUUUUUAUACAUCUGACCCAAAAAUAGAAAUACACCAUUGUUAAUUUAUUCUCCUCCUAAAAAUAGCACUCUCUAUAUAUGAAGUUACCUUUUCAUUAAAGAAAUUAUUGUUUUUUAUGGUAUCAUUUUAUUUACAUUACACUGAAAUAUUGUUGAGAGAGAGAGGGGGGCAAAAUUAAAUUGAAAUAUUAUUUAUAUUAAAUGAAUUGUAGAAUUUUAAAAUAAUAAAGAUUUCAAUUGAGUUAAUUUCUAAAUUUGAGAUUUAAUUGUCUCUAAGACUUGUUUAGUAGGUUGCUAAAACAUAAAAGAGGAAAUCUAUAAAGACACCUAAUUAUAGCAGGUAUAGAAAGAAAUAAAAUGAUAAAUGAUAAGUAAUAGUGGAGUUGAAAUUUGUUAAUUUACCUUUAGAAGGUACAGUGCCAUUAAGUUCUUGCAAUGACAGAUUUUUUAGAGAAUGCAGUGCUCCAAGGCUUUGAAAAGAGUGUUCAUCUAGAGAACAACCAUCCAGAAACAACUCUUCCAAGGAGCUCAAAUUUUGCAACUCUGUUUGUUCAAAAGUAGCAAAUUGUAUUUUUUCAAUUAAACCCAAAUAUAUGAACAUCACUAUAUAUAAUUACUUACUCUCACCUAAUAUUCUUCCUUUAAAAUCAUUGCCUUCCAGGUAAAGUGUCGUGAGGUUUGGGAAUGAUCCUAAUAAACGAAGAAUACUCAAGUUAAAAAUAUUAUAAUUUCAUCAAACCACUAAUAUGAUAUAUUACACUAUUAUUUUUUUCAUAUUUUGUUUUGCUUUCCCUUGUUUAGAAAAUGCCAUAUUUUUUAAAAAUAAAAAAGAAAUUAUAAUGAUUCCAAUUGAGUUAAUUUCCUAAUUUGAAUAGUCGAUGAUAAGUAAUAGUGGAGUUGAAAUUUGUUAAUUUACCUAUAAAAGGUACAGUGCCAUUGAGAUUUUGCAAUGACAGUUUUUCUAGAGAAGGCAGUGCUUGAAAAAAUAUUAAGUUUUUUUUUUAUCUUUAAAGUUCUUGAAAAAAUAAAUCUAAUCUUUGAUUGAUUUUCUACCUUGAAAGAAACAUGAUAAGUUUUUUUUUAAUCUUAACACUACUGAUCACUUCUUUAAAUAUACGUUAUUGUUGAUGAAUGAGAAUUGAAGUGGAUAAAAUUUUAGGAUUUCUAGAAGAAUUAAUUCUCUCAAAUUUUUUCAUAUUUUCUGUUUUUAUUUUUAUUAACUUGGCUUUUCUUUCAUACUUUUUUAUAUUUUUGGAUGAGAAUGAAAUAUUUUAUAUAAACUUUAAAAACAACUCUGAGAUUUAUUCAUAAAUAUUUUGUGUGACUCUCUACUUAUAUAAACGGAUGAAGUAUGGAAAUUAUAGUAAUUUCUUUUUAUAUAAUUCUUUUAAUCUGAAUAUCUUUUAGGAAAAAAAUGCAUGAUGGCACCAUCCAGCGGGCCCAACUCAUGUGGAAAAAAUGGAGGGAAAAAAAAAAAGCAGGAUGGCAUAGGAUAGCAGUGUACUCUUCAUCACAAUCCCUUUCGUUUUCGUUUUGAUACUAGUUACAUACCCCGCGUGAUGCCGCGGGUCAAUUAUUUUUUGCAUUUUAAAAAUAGCCAAGAUCUAAAAGUGUUAGGUUUUUUUGUAAAGUUAUACCCAAAAGUCUCAGUUUUGGUUGCAUCGCCUGAUCCAAGAGUAAUGUUUAUGAUAUUAAUAAUAAAAUUAAACUUGGGUUAACCCUUAGCAUAAAAGUGUCUGGACCACAAUACCAGAUCCAAUAGCAUUGGACGUGGGUCUGGCUGCAAGGUCGGGUCAUAAAAGUGUGAUAAUUAAAUAGAUUAGUUAAAAAAAAAAACCAACAUGAAAAAAAAAACUAAUGAAAAAAAAGAAAAAAAAAUGAAUUAAUUGGGUUAACCCUUCAAACCAAGUUAACCCAUCAUACCUUGAAUUCGCAUCACACAAAAGUUUGAUAAUUAAAAAAAAAAAACAAAUUAAUGGGUUAACCCAGAAUUAACUGGGCUAACUCUUCAAACCAGGUUAACCUGUUUAACCCGGAAUCCAUGUAAUGAAAGUUUGAUAACUAAAUAGAAAAAAAUUUAACAUUAACAAUUUAAAUUAAACAAAAAAAAUAAUUAAAAAACAAAACAAAAGGCAUUAGCCUUUUCACUGUGGACUGCACUGUGCAGUCCACAGUCAAAGGCAUAAAAAAAAAAAACUAAAGACAUCAGCCAAACACUACUUAGAAAAAAAUUUAAUAUUAAUAAACUAAAUUAAUUAAAUAAAAUUAAUUAAAAAUAAAAAAUAAAAGAAAAAAGAAAAAAAAACCUCUAAGAAGAAAAAAAAUAUACUAAAUAGAAAGAAAUUUAACAUUAACAAACUAAACGAAACGAAAAAAAUAAUUAAAAAAACAAUUCAGGUUAACUCGUCAAACCAAGUUAACCCGUUAAACCCGGGAUCCGUGUCAUGAAUGUCUGGUAACAAAAAAAAAAAUUGAACAUUAACAAACUAAACUAAACAAAAAAAAUUAAUUAAAAAGAAAAAAAAAUCUGGGUUAACUCGUCAAACCAUCUUAACCCGUUAAACUCAGGAUCUGUGUCAUGAAAGUCUGAUAACUAAAUAAAAAAAAUUAUUUGUUAGUUAUGCUAUAAAAUACUUAGCGAUGUCACAGUUAACUUUUUUUAGAUGAGUCUAGAUUGAUUUUUUUUUAAUUUUUAAUUUUUAAUUUUUGAACUAUAAAAUAUAGAUAAAUUUAAAAUAAAUAUUUUUUUACAAUAAUCUUUCUAAUUUACUCCUGUUCAAGAUGAGGCAGUUCCCAUUUGAGGUGGUUCUUCAUAUCCUUCAUCCACCAGACCCACAAAUCUGGUGAGAUAAAGAUUGUCUCCAUUGGAGAACUUCAAUAAUCAUAAUGCUUGUUAUCUAUUUUUUUGUUUCUGUAUAUAUAUAAAAACAAAUUAAAAAAAUAUAUAUUUGAAAGAAAACAAGAUGCCAGAAUGUCUAGAAAAUAGUCAAAAACUAGUUGAGAAAGUUAAAAAAUACAAAGAUUAAAAUUUGAUAGUAUAUUGUUUUAUUGAUGAGAGUCCUAUUAACAAAAAAAAAUUUAAUUUAAGGAAAAAAAGUCAAAAAUCAACAUUCAAAAUUUAAUUUAAGGAAGAAAAUUUUAAUUUAUUUUUAGUUAAUUUUUUACUUUUAAAAAAGCAUGAUAAGUAUUUUUUUUUUUCUUAACACCUCUGGUCGCUUCUUUGAAUAUACAUUAGUGUUGAUGGGUGAAAAUUUAAGUGGACGGAAUUUUAGGAUUUCUAGAAUUUGAGGACCCAUGCCGUGGAAGAAACUGCAUGAUGGAAAUGUUAUCUCGGACCCAACUCAAUGAAAACAAUAUAUCUCUUGUUUUUUUUCUUAAUUUUUCAUUAAUUUUGCCAAUAUAUAUUAAUUAGAGAAAUCCUACUAAUAUUUAUUUUUGUUUUUGCUGUGAAUAAAUUUAAAUUUCCAACGCUGUUGUUGUUGUUGUCAGUUUUUCCAUCUAAAUUGCGGUAAAGGUUGAUCAUCGAUCACAAAUGUUUAUGUUUCGACACCAAAUUCUUUAAUUUCCAUCACAAAUUCAAAUUUAAGUUGAUGGAGAUAUUUAGAGAAUGACUGAAAAUAAAUCAAACCAAAGCUUGUGGAAUUAAAAACUAAAAAAUGGACCAAAUUUAUCUCUACAGGGAGCCAUCAAAAUAAUUAUUUAUUCUGGAGAAAAACCCAAACUCAAUUUCAUUUGAUCAAAGUCACACCUUCAAAGAAAACAAGAAAAAAGUAUUUAAUUGAUAUAAUAAUUUUAAAAAUGAUUUUUUUUAUUUUAAUACAUAAUUCAUAAUAUCUCAAUUGAUUCAUUUAACAUUUAUCUUUAAUAUAUAUAAUUUCUUUGUUUUUUUUUAUAAUACUUUUAAUCUGAAUAUCUUUUAGGAAAAAAUGCAUGAUGAAAAUGUUCACCGAGACACAACUUAUGGAAAAAUGCAUGAUGACACCAUCCAACAGACCCAUUUCGUGGAAAAAAAAAAAGAAGCAUGAUGGCACAGGACGGCAAUGCCCUCUUCAUCCCGAUUUUAUGAUAAUUUAAGUGAAUAGAAUUUUAGGAUUUUUAGAAGAAUUAAUUCUCUCAAGUUUUGUCAUAUUUCCUGUUUUUUUAUUAUUAUUAUUACUUUGGCUUUCCUUUCUUACUUUUUAUAUUAUGUUUUGGAUGAAAAUGAAAUAUUUUAUAUAAAUUUUAAAAACAGGGUCCAUUAAUGGAAAAAUGGUUGAUGGCAAUGGUCUAACGGGCCCAACUCUUGUUAAAAAUGGAGAAACAAAUGCCAACAUAGCUGGCUAGCAUGAUGGAAAAAUCCGACCCAUAUACAAUAUAUGAUUUUAUAAUAAUUUCAUGCGAUAAUAACAUGAAGGAUUUUUUUCAAUCAAAUAAAAAAAUUUAUUUAUCUAUCAAAAAAUUAUUAUGAAUUUAAUAUUUUCAAUAUUUAUUUUGAAAUAUACCACAUGAAAUGUUUAAAUAUUUGCAAUAUGUAUUUUGAAUUUAAUAUUAAUAAUUAUAUCUUCCUAACACAAGUUUACUUUAAUCAAUAAAAACUGGUACACCUUUUGUUUUUUCAUCCCUUUUGACUAAAGUGUACCAGUUUUUGAAGAAAGAUCAACUGGUAGACAUUUUUUCCUCCCUUUUGAUCUUUCUUCUUCUUCUUUCGGCAUGGAAAAAAUGGAAAAUGGCAUUAAUAGUCUUACACGGCAAAAUAGUAGCAUUAACCUUUCUAAUUUACUCCUGUUCAAGAUGAGGCAGUUCCCAUUUGAGGUGGUUCUUCGUAUCCUUCAUCCACCAGACUCCACAAAUCUGGUGAGAUAAAGAUUGUCUCCAUUGGAGAACUUCAAUAAUCAUAAUGCUUGUUAUCUAUUUUUUUGUUUCUGUAUAUAUAUAAAAACAAAUUAAAAAAAUAUAUAUUUAAAAAAAACAAUAAGAUGCAUGCCGGAAUGCCCAGAAAAUAGUCAAAAACUGGUUGAGAAAUUAAAAAAUACAAAGAUUAAAAUUUGAUAGUAUAUUUUUUUAUUGAUGAGAGUCCUAUUAACAAAAAAAAAUUUAAUUUAAGGAAAAAAAGUCAAAAAUCAACAUUCAAAAUUUAAUUUAAGGAAGAAAAUUUAAUUUAUUUUUAGUUAAUUUUUUACUUUUAAAAAAGCAUGAUAAGUAUUUUUUUUUUCUUAACACCACUGGUCGCUUCUUUGAAUAUACAUUAGUGUUGAUGGAUGAAAAUUUAAGUGGACGGAAUUUUAGAAUUUCUAGAAUUUGAGGACCCAUGCCGUGGAAGAAACUGCAUGAUGGAAAUGUUAUCUCGGACCCAACUUAUGGAAAAAAUGCAUGAUGGCACCAUCCAACGGACCCAUCUCGUGGAAAAAAGGAGCAGGACGGCAGUGUACUCGACAGGGCUUUAUUCUUCAACCUCUCGUAUAAUACAGAAGAACUGUGUAAAAUUUAUAUUUUUUUAAUUUAAUGAUGGGAGUUUAUAUUAAAUAUUUUUUUUCUUUAAAUUCAUGAAAAAAUAAAUUAAUGUUUUUUUACCUUAAAAAAAACAUGAUAAUAAUUAUUUUUAUUUUUAUUUUUCAACAUCAUUGAUCACUUCUUUGAAUAUACAUUAUUGUUGCUGAAUGAGAAUUUAAGUGGAUAGAAUUUUAGGAUUUCUAGAAAAAAAAUAAUUAUCUUAAAUUUUAUCAUAUUUUCUGUUUUUAUUUUUAUUAAUUUGGCUUUUCUUUCCUACUUUUUAAUAUUUUUUGGAUGAGAAUGAAAUAUUUUAUAUAAACUUUAAAAACAACACUGAGAUUGAUUCAUGUAUAUUUGUGUUACUAUUAUUUAUAUAAAUGGAUGAAGCAUGAAAAUUAUAGAAGGCGAUAGUUACAAACUAAACUCUGAAGAUGAAAUUGUGAAAUCUCUAGGAGCAAGCUAAAAAUUUAACAAAAUCUGACCAAGUCGUUUUAGAAGCCAAGAAAAAACAUAAAAAUAAUGGAAUCACAUCAACAUCACUAGCAUUAUAACCCUUUCAAAAAUUUAACAAAAUAAUGGAAUCACAUCAACUAAAAAUUCAAGAUGCAAUUGAGAAAUCUGAAGGAGAAAACUAAGAAUCUACCAAAAUCUGACCAAGUCAUUUCACAGGUGGCUUCAAGAUAAAAUAAAAGGAAUCACAUCAACAUCAAUAGUGGUUUCAAUCAAACAGCUCAGAGGCAGGCAAUUUCCCACGGCAAUAAAAGAACUAUAUCCAUCCAAUAAUUUAAGCUAUUAGGUGAGAUUCUAGAAUAUGAUUUAUAUUAUUUUUUAAUAUAUCCCUUCAAGUGAAAGCCCUUUAGGCUUGAAACUUGCAUAGACUCAUAUUAUCUUGUGCUUAAUUUUUAUCAAAUAAAUAGGGAUGGUAAGAUUCAAACUCGUGACUAUUUGGUCAUCAAGACUCUGAUACCAUGUCAAAGAAACAUCUCAACCUAAUAGCUUAAGCUAUUAGGUAAGGUCCUAGGAUAUGAGUUAUAUUAUUUUCUAACACAUAGAGAAACUGCUUUUUACAUCCUCAGCACGGUUGUUCUUCCUCUAUUUGUAUUUUUAAAAACUAAAAACAUAUCUAAAUAAAAAUAUAAUACAGAGAAAAUGUUUCUAGAAUUGUAUAUUUUUAAAAUAAAAAACAUAUAAAAACAUAUUUUCUUUAUCUUUACUAUUUUUUUAUUUUAUAUCACGAUAAUCAAAUGUUGCCUAAUUAAAAGAGCACCAAAUCAUGAUAAAAAUUGCUCCCUUUUUAAUCUAGUUUUUUUUUUUGUUAAAUUGAUAAUUUUGAUAAAUAACACACUUAUUUUAGUUAAAAAAAAAUUAUUAGUAAAGAGGCAUUGGAGCUGGUUUUAAUUAUUUCAAUAAAUAACACACUAAUUUACUUUUAAUCUUAUUUUAGUUAAAAAAAAAUUAUUAGUAAAGAGGCAUUGGAGCUGGUUUUAAUUAUUUCAAUAAAUAACACACUAAUUUACUUUUAAUCUUAUUAUUAGUGAAUUUUUUCUUAAAUAUUUUUGAUUGAUAGGACAUGACAGCUGGUUCUUAAUAUUCUUUCUAAUAGCCUUGCAAGAGUAAUGAGUGUGUUUUUUCUUCACGUUCCUAGUUUUUUUUUUUUGUGUAUUAUUUUUAUUUACUGGUUUCUUGUGAAGAAAUUGACACCUCAAUCGCUUCAAUAUAUCUUAAACAUUUCCAUUAAUUAAUCGGUGGUUGCAUUCUUCUUUCUUUCUUUCUUUUUUUCUUAUGAUAAUUGAGAACUAUAUUCAAAUAUUAAAAUUAAGGCAUGAUUUUCUAGACGUGAUUUCCAUAAAGAUAGUAGGAAGGGCUCUGUAUCAAUCAUCUUCAUGGAAAGUGAGCUGGCCAACGUUAACUUUUUAUUCAUGUUUUUCCACAAAAGACUUUGACUUGGGGUCAAGUUUUCGGUUAAUCGACUUGGGGUCAAUUUUUCCACAAAAGGCGUGAUUUCAAUUUUUUUUUUACAAUGUUAGCAAAAUCACUUUAAUUAUUCUUUCAAUAUUCCCGUACGUGUGAUUCACUGCUUGGUGAUUCUAAAGUCACCUAUUUAAACUUUAGUACGUUAGACAACUAAAUUUACUUUUUCACUCGGUAUUUAUUAUAUAUUCAAUUUGUUUAUAAAAUAAUGAUGUAGAGUUAACCCAUAGAACGAGUUGUUUUAGAAGCCGAUUGUUACAAACUAAAAUUUCAAGACGAAAUUGAGAAAUUUGAAGGAGCAAACUAAGAAUUUACCAAAAUCUGAGCAAGUGGUUUCUAGAUAAAAUAAAGGAAUCACAUCAACAUCACUAGUGCUUUCUAGAUAAGCAUAACCCAUAGAACGGGUUGUUCUUCUACUUAUCAGAUUAAUUUAUAUCAUAAAAUAAAUUAUAACAAGAAUGAAAUGAAAUUGGAUUUGAAAAUUCUCCAAAACUUGCCAAUGCAUGAUGUGUAACAGACCCAUAGAACGGGAGUGAGUUACAAAUGACCCAUAACUCUUGCCAACAAUUUUAGUCUCAAGAAGGUACGGAGAUUUUCCAUGGAUUCGACCUUGAUGAUUGUACAUAAAAUUUGCUUCUAACAUGGUUCCAAAUAUGGCAUCUUUCUGAUUAAUGAACAGGGCAUCUAUUGAUACUACAUAUGAACGAACACUUAAAUUUGUUGGUAAAAGGAAAGAUAUUGUACAGCUAUUGUAAUAUGUAUUUCUUUCUAUUAUGUUUACUGUUUUCCUAUUGUAUUUGCUGAGAUUGAGGCAAUCACAGUUAUUGUGAUUGACCUUCUUAGAAUAGAUUAUUUGCUUCCCUAGAAUAGAUUUUGCAACUUGUAUAAAUCACAUGUAUUACAACCUUCUUAAUAUAUACAAUACACUACAGAGUUUAUAAUUCUUUCAUGGUAUCAGAGCACCAAUAUUGGUGAACCUAUUCACACCUUCCGCCACCACCAAAAUUCAACCAACACAAAACAUAAACAUGGAUGACAACACAUCCAACUCACUCACCUUGCAUGGUUCAGACUCACCAGGGCUUGUUCUUGUUUCCAAGCCUUUUGAAGGACACAAUUAUGGUCAAGGGAGCCGCUCAAUGCGUAUUGCCUUGAGUGCCAAAAACAAAUUGGGGUUCAUUGACGGAACCAUCACACCUCCAGCAAGCACGGAUACCAAAUUUGUUGUUUGGCUAAGAUGCAACGACAUGGUGCUGUCAUGGAUUUUACAGUCACUAAAUCCUGAUAUUGCAAGCAGUGUCCUUUACUACACUAGUGCAUCUAUGGUAUGUAAUGACCUCAAGGAUCGAUUCUCACAAAGCAAUGACUCUAGGAUUUUCCAAAUCCGUCAAGAAAUCGCUGAGCAUCGACAAGGUAACCUCACAAUUUCAGAAUACUAUACUAAACUCAAGGCUUUAUGGGACAAAUUAGAUUCCUCCCAUGAACCCAUCAUAUGCACCUGCGAGGGUUCCAAAACACAAGCCUCAAGAGAAGAAAAGGAGAGAGUCAUGCAAUUUCUAAUGGGUCUUAAUGAAGCUUACUCAACAGUGCGUGGGUCGAUCCUCAUGAUGUCACCAAUCCCAGACACAUGCCAUGUUCAUGGAUUAAUCAUCCAACACGAGCAACAAAUGGAUGUGGCAAAUCGGCAGAUCGAACCCCAUGUUAUGCAGACCAGUCGCUACAUCAGAGGUGGUACAAGACUUGGGAAUCAAAUGAGAAUAAAAUCGCCCGGUGCUGGUAACGGAGAAGGGAAGCACGGUCCUUAUCUGAAGAAGCAACUCAACUGUGCUUACUAGGGGUGUUCAAAAAAACCGACCAACCGAUUAAACCGAAGAAACCGAGAAAAAAUUAACCGAAAUAACCGAACUGAUAGAAAAAACCGAAUAAACCAAUUAAAAAAUAAAAAAAAUCACCCGGUCUGGUUCGGUUCCGGUUUAAAAAGGCUUAAACCGAUUGAACCGGACCAAACCGAACCGGUUUAAUUGAAUCUAAAAAAUAGUAUAAAAGGAAACUAAACCUAAAUAAUAAAUACCCUAACCUAACCCUACAUUUCCAACCCCCCACCUUUCCAGUCGCCCCCCUUCCCUUUCCCUUUCCCUUUCCCUUUUCCCACUUUUGCAUUCCAGCCACCCUACCUAUCCCUCCCUCCCCGCUCUCUCUCUCCCCCCCCUCUUCCCUUUCCCUUUUCCUUUCCCAUUUCCCCCUUUCAAUUCCAGCCACCCCACCUAUCCAUCCCUCCCCGCUCUCUCUCCUCCCCCUUUACCCUUCCCCUUUCUCCCUUUCCAGUCACCCCACCCCUCUCUCUCUCCCUCUCCUCUGUGCACAAGGAAGGCUUAAAGCAACUCAUUUUCUCUCAUAUUGUUGCCUUUCUACUCUCUACUUUACUUUAUGGCAGAAAACUUGGAUAAAAUCCUUGUUUCUGGUUUUAUUAACAUGCAGUUGUGCUAGCAAGGUCCUGGUAGUUUGCGCCUUUGCGGGAUGCUAUUGGAAUCUUUGUUAACAUGUAGUUGUGCUUGCUUGGAUAGAUCCAGUGAUUGUGAUUCGGCCAAGUUUUCUUUUAUUUAAUUUGUUUCGGUUUUUCUAGUUUCUAAGGCUAAAAAACCGACCCGAGCUGAACAAAACCGGUUCGGUUUGAACCGGUUCUUGGUUCGGUUCGGGUUAUAUUAACAAGGAAUAGUAUUUUCCGGUUCGGUUGAUUUUUUAUGUUAAAACCGGACUGAACCGGACCGUGAACACCCCUAGUUCUUACUGUGAUGGAGAACCCACACGGUGGAAAAUUGUUAUUAUAUCAAUGGUUUUCCUGUGGGCCAUAAAUUACAUGGAAAGAAUGUCAAGCCAAGGAAUAAAAGGCCCAAUGCCUACACUGUUGACAAAGAUUCCACCUUAGUGCAUGACAGUAAGCCAAAUGAAAGUCCAACUUUCACCACCGAAGAAUAUAAUCAAUUGAUCGCCCUCUUGCACAACCAAUCCGAUAAUUUUUCACAUGCAAAUGCAACAGGUAUUGUUACACCCACCUGUAAUCUAUCACAGCAUAACCCACAUUCAAACAUAUAUUGGAUAAUGGACAGUGGAGCGUCAAAUCACAUUUCAUGUUUUGCACUACAUAUAACAUGCUGCAUGCUCCUCAUGAUUUUGUUGGGUUAACCAAUGGAGGAAAAGCAAAAAUUCACAACGUUGGGUCCGUUAAAGUAUCUGAAACAAUAACUCUUGAUGGAGUUCUUCACGUCCCUCAAUUCAAUGUGAACUUAUUAUAUGUGAGCAAAUUGACACGAGGAUUGCAGUGUAUUGUGAUUUUUUUUAAUAAAUUUUAUAUUGUGCAGGAUGUGACCACAGGGAGGAUGAUUGGCCUGGGCAAGCAAUUUAAUGGGCUCUACUACCUCACAGCUACCCAAAAUCCACAUCUAGCUCACCAUGUCCACCACACCUCCCAUUCGUGGAGAGAAAACAUCGUCGUCUCUUAAAUGUUGGUCGGGCGCUACGUUUCCAAACCAACAUUCCUUUGUGUUUUUGGGGGGAGAGUUUACAAACUGCAUGUUAUCUUAUAAACUGUCUCCCAACACCCUUACUCAAACACAAAUCACCAUUUGAGCUAUUACAUCACAAAUCUCCUGAUUACUCUGUUUUACGAGUGUUCGGUUGUCUGUGUUAUGCCAUCAAUCUUCUUCCUAAGCACAAAUUUGAUGCACGGGCUCGCUGAUUUGUGUUUUUUGGUUACCCCCUCGGUCAAAAAGGUUACCGCAUUUAUGACCUUACCACACAAAAAAAAAAAAUUCCUCCCAAGAUGUGAUUUUUCAUGAACACACAUUCCCUUUCUCUACAUCUCCACCUGAAACCCAAGAUGAUUUUACUGUGCUACCCAACUCUUCCACCGACCCAUUGCUUCUACCGGUACCCAUCCAUAACCAAAUCCUACCGCCUCAACCAGUCUUCCUUGAUUCCCCUUCCAUUCCCUCUAAUCCUCCCCUGCUUCCCAUCACGUCUACUCCACCCACACCCAUCCCCGACUUAUCUUCACCUCCUUCACCCAUCAUCCCAUGCCUUCCCUCUGAAUCCCCUACCCUUUCCAUAGCCGUCAAUCCAUUGCCCAUUCGCCAAUCCAGCUGCCCCACAAAACCCUUUACCCGCUUCAAAGAUUACCAAACUCGCCAUACCACUCUGCUUGCUCCUGCUGAUCCCUCCUCCGACACAUCUGGCACCCGCUGCCCCAUCACUCGGUAUGUGUCUCACUCUAAUUUCUCUGCACCUCAUCGUACAUUUAUCAAUCAUAUUUCUCAAUUGGUUGAACCUAGCUCCUAUGAGGAGGCACAACAUCACCCUCAAUGGGUUGCCGCUAUGAAUUCUGAAAUCACAGCUUUAGAGGAGAACAACACCUGGUCUUUCACUUCAUUUCUUGCAGGUCAUCGUUCGAUCGGCUGCAAAUGAGUUUUUAAGAUUAAAUACAAGUCGGAUGGUUCCAUUGAAAGAUACAAAGCCCGCUCGGUUGCCAGGGGCUAUACCUGGCGUGAAGGCAUCGAUUACACCGAAACCUUUGCUCUUGUUGCUAAGCUCAUCACUGUUUGUUGCCUCUUUAUUUUUGUUGUUGUCUAUAGUUGGCCUCUGCAUCAGAUGGAUGUGCACAACGCCUUCUUACACAACGAUCUCCAUGAAGAAGUUCAUAUGCUUCCACCGCCGGGGUAUCGGCGCCAGAGGGAGCACAUGGUUUGUCGCCUCCACAAAUCCAUAUACGGUUUGAAACAGGCGUCCCGAAGCUGGUUUUGUAAGUUUUCAACUGCCAUACAGCACAUUGGUUUUUUUUCAAUCCAAAGCCGAUUAUUCAAUGUUCACACAAACACAAGGCAAAUCUUUCACUGUCGUUUUGUUAUACAUUGAUGAUAUGAUAAUUACUGGGAAUAAUGAUGCUGCCAUCCGAGACCUUAAACAUUUUCUCAGCACCCGUUUCAAAAUUAAGGAUCUCGACCCUUUAAAAUACUUCAUUGGGGCUGAGAUUGCACAGUCCAAAUCUGGCAUUUCUUUUUGCCAUCAAAAGUAUACAUUGGAUAUCUUAGAAGAUGCAGGUUUGCUUGGUUCCAAACCUGAAAAGAUUUCUAUGGAUACAAAUGUUGCUCUUAUGCCUAUAAGGAGUAACCCCCUUACUGACCCUACUUGUUAUCGGAGACUUAUUGGACGAUUAAUCUAUCUUACCAUUACAAGGCCUGAAAUCACAUAUGCAGUGAACACACUCAGUCAAUUUAUGCAUGACCCUCAGAAGCACCAUUUUGACACAACACGUCGGCUCCUUCAUUACCUCAAAGGAGCUCCUGGCCAAGGGAUGUUAUUCUCCUCGAAUGGGCCACUACACUUGACUGCAUAUUGCGAUGCAGACUGGGCACGAUGCCCUUUCACAAGACGCUCAAUUACUGGAUAUUGUAUUUUUCUUGGCAGGUCCCUCAUAUCAUGGAAAAGCAAGAAGCAAGUCAUUGUCUCAAGGUCAUCCACAGAAGCUGAAUACCGGUCCAUGGCAGCCACUGCUUGUGAACUUACUUGGUUACGAUACCUCUUACACGAUCUACAAGUACCCCAUCGCCAACCUGCCACCUUACUUUGUGACAACAAAGUUGCCCUCUAUAUUGCAGCCAAUCAAUUCUACCAUGAACGGACAAAGCACAUCGAAUUGGAUUACCACACCGUUCGUGAGAAAAUUCAAAAUGGCAAAAUCAAGACAACUCAUGUGAAAACACAAUUCCAAGUAGCUGACAUUUUCACCAAGCCACUGCCUGCACCCCUAUUCCAAUCCUAUCUUCACAAGUUGGGUGUAAUCGACAUUCACACUCCAACAUGAGGGGGAGUGUUAAAAGGAAAGAUAUUGUACAGCUAUUGUAAUAUGUAUUUCUUUCUAUUAUGUUUACUGUUUUCCUAUUGUAUUUGCUGAGAUUGAGGCAAUUACAGUUAUUGUGAUUGACCUUCUUAGAAUAGAUUAUUUGCUUUCCUAGAAUAGAUUCUGCAACUUGUAUAAAUCACAUGUAUUAUAGCCUUCUUAAUAUAUACAAUACACUACAGAGUUUACAAUUCUUUUAAAGAACCGUAAAUCUCCCUAUCUUAAGUUUAUUACCAGACUUGUUCCUAUCAAUAUAGCCAUCAGAAUUUUGUUUACUGUGGAAAAUCCAUUUACAACCCACAACAUUUUGACUGGGAUUGGAAGGUAGCAGUUCUCAUGUUCCAUUUCAAACAAGAGCAUUAUAUUCUUCAGACAUUGCCUCAUGCCAUUUUGGAUCUUUGAGAGCUUGAGCUGAUGUGGUGGGUUCAAGAGCAAGAGGUUUGGAUAAUUGGGUGUGAAGAUUUAGUUUUUGAAGAGGUUUGCGAAUGUUAUUUUUUGCCCUUGUUUGCAUGGCAUGAUUCGGUUGGGUAGCAACUGGCAAGGGAUUUGUGGCAGUCAUUUGAUGUGUUUGGUUUUGUGUAUUGGUUGUGUUAAGAUGAGAAGUGUCAGGUACAGGGGCUAUAGUGUGUGGUUGUUUUAAUUAUUAGUGGUAUCCAAGUAGAAAGUGUGGUUGAUUCCGGUCGUGGAGCUUGUGUAAGAGAGGAUUUAAAAGGAAAGACUGUUUCAACAAACCUGACAUGCCUAGAUACAAAAAAUCUUUAAUGUUGAUGGAUCAUAGCAAAGAUAGACACUUUGAGUUAGAGAGCAUUCGAGAAAACGAGAUUCCAGUUUAUGACAAGUAUAGCUAGGGGCGAAGCCAAUGAUAACAUAGACAACCAAAACCUUGAGUUUUGAAUAAUUAGGAGGAGUACCCAAAAAAAUUUCAUAAGAGGAGAAGAGAUUUAAUGUUUGAGUUGACAUUCGAUUGAUUAAGUAGACACUUGUUGUAAACCCUCUAUGUGAAAAAUCAUAAAUUGACUAGUUUUAUGUAAAACAAAAACAAUCAUAACUCUCGAUCGGGUUAUCAAAAACUUCUGAAAAUUACGUGGAGUCUUCUAAUAUGAUGCCUUAGCUUAGGUUAAAAUUUCAGAAUUUUUGGAGAAAUUCAGAAAUUUGACGAAAAAUCACAAUUUGACUAGUUUUGCGUUAUUGGACGUAAUUUUCAAUAUGACCAUCAAAUUGAUCUGAAAUUUUAUGAGGAACUUUAAAAUAUAUUGAAUAAAAUCUGGUUAAAAUUUUAAGAUAAAUGGAGCUAGGUAGUACUAACAAAAAAAUAAGGACCAUCAAAUAGAAGCAAAAGGACUCAUUAAGGGUAAAAUGGUUAUUUUCCAUUAAAAAAUAAAACAAAUCACCUCUCCUUUUCUUUAACAUGCUACCAAAUGGGCAGAAGCAGAUUGGGAAAAGAAAGAACGUAAAAGAACGUGAGAGAAAGAGAGAAAAGUAAGGAAAAAAUAAGAAAAUUAAGAGAAUAACCUUGUAAACUUGCAAAGUUCAACUUAGUACCAACUUAGAAGUGUUGUCGAUAACUUGAUACCAACAAAAAUAGAAAAAACUCUGCCGAAAGUUUUAAAAAAAAAGUUAUUCCAUUAGUAAAAAAUAUUUGAGAUUUCAUGACAUUAUAAUUUGAGGUUGUUAUAGUUGUAACAAAGGCAUUAGACCAAUGACUUAAAGGAAUGGAAGCAUGAGAGAGAAGGAUGAGACCAGUUUUAAGAAUGUGAAGAUGAUGUUGUUCCGAAAAGUCAUUGUGUUCGGAUGUGUGAAGUGGAAUAGUAAGAUGAGAUAUACCAUGAAGAGCAAGAAAAUUAGCAAGUGCAACAUAUUCACCACCAUUAUCAAACUACAAUGUAUUGCUGCUCUGAUUGAAGUGUUUUUCCGUAUGUAAUAACUUUGAAUCUAAUGAAUAUGUCUUUUACUUGUGAUUUUUGUUUUAGAGGAUAAAACCAAAUAUACUUAGUAAAAUGAACAAAAAUUACAUAGCCAUCAUAAGAAAUAAUUGGUGAAGUCCAUACAUGUUAAAAAAUUAUUUGAAGAGGUCGAUUAGAAGUAAUGGUAGAAUUGAAAAAUGAAAGUUUGUGACUCUUAUUCCAAUGACAUGCAUUACAAGAAAAAAUUUAAAUGCUGGAAGAAGAUAAAUCGAGUUUGUUUGUAGAAAUGACAUGCUAUAAAAUAGGAAAGGCUGGGUGUCCCAAUCUAUGAUGCCAUUCGGAGAAGGUGGUUUUGACAAUGGAAAAGGUAAAUAGAGGUGAAGAUAUCAGCCACUUAUAUACACCAUCCUUUGCUUUACCUGUCAAAAGCGUUGCUCCUAUAUGAAGAUCAUUUACAAGAAAAGAAUACGGUAAGAAUUCAAUUGAAGCAUUGUUGGACAUACAGAAUUUGGAAAUUGUAAUCAAAUGUUUUUCGUGCUGGGUACACAGAACAUUGGUUAAGGAAAAAUGAGCAUUAGAACUGCGAAGAGAAGUGGAACCAGUAUGUGUUAUGGGAAGCCCUGUGCCGUACCGAUUUUUGUCAUUGCACUAAACAAUGUAUCUUGAUUUCCAUACCGAUUAUACCAUGGGUUUUGUUUGAAAUUUUUAGACAACUGCGCCCUAUGUGUUCAAACCUUGUUGAAAUUUUUUAACGUUGGCUGAGCUGACAACAACCAAAAUUAUUUACGUAGUUGACCUUAGCUGACUUGAACUUUUCUUGGCAAUUCCUUACAAAUGGGCAUAUACAAGGAAGUUUUGGCACUACUGCUGUUCAUUAGUCCCUUGCCUCUUUUUUGUUUCUUUUUCCUUUUCUUUUUCAGGAGUUUGAUGCAAUGUAUGGCAUCGCAUGGCACUACAUUGUUGGCAAGAGUUAUGGGUCAUUUGUAACUCACUCAAUCAAGAGCUAUCCACCAUGUCCAAGAAAAGUCUAUCAACAUCACUAGUCGUUGCUGGAUAAGUAAACAUAUAAGCUUUUCAAUUAAAAAGCACAGAGGCAGUCAUGCUUGACUGAUAAAAGCCCAAAAGUUAUAACUUGAGCUGGUUUUAAUUAUUUCGAUAAAUAACACAUUUCUUUUUAAUCUUAUUAUUAGUUUUUUCUUAAUUUUUUGAUUGAUAAGAAAUGGCAGCUGGUUCUUAAUAUUCUUGCUGAUAGACUUGCAAGAGUAAUGAGUGUGUUUUUUCUCCACAUUCCGAGUUUUGUUUUACUUGUUGAUAGUCCUUUAAACAUACUAUUAACUCGCUCCCAGAAUGGAUAUCAAUGAAAGCGAUGGUUAGCACCUGGCUUGCAGAUGCAAUCAUGUAUGAACUCUGGGCGGGGUCUGAUGGAACCUCUGCCCGCACAAUUUAUCACUCUGGCCUCCCUUGGUUGAUAGGAAAGGCUCUAUUCAUGAAACAAGUGUACUUUGUUAAGCAGCGACUUGGGAUAACUAAAGAAAAUGCUGAACGAAGGGAAGCAGAGGUUACACUUCUAUCAUUGAUGAUCUUUUUCUGCAACUUGUUGAUAUCAAAUCUGUGCACAUACACUAGUGUUAGAAAGCAUACAUCUUUGGAAUGAUUUUACCCGUUUAUAUAUUGCUUCAUUUUCUGUUAAUUUUCCUUGACCAUGGCCUUGCGAUUUUUUUAUUUUAAUUUAUGGAUAGAUUUACAAGAGAGCGAAAAUUGCAUAUGGAGCUUUGUCAACCACAUUAGGGAAUCACACAUUUCUUUUUGAAAGAUGUUUAUUUUUUAUAUCGUGGUUAAUAUAUAUAUUUUUCAUUUUUUACCUGAAAUCAUCUAAGAUAUUUUGGUUUUUGUUUUGAAUUCAAAUUUUAAGUUUGAGGUCUUGACUAUGCAUUGAUUAUACACCCAACUUCAUAUUUCUGUUUGUGCAGGCCAUCUAGUUUGGACAAAUAUUUCCUUGGGCAUGUCCUUUUCACUCUUCAAGCAUUUCCUGUGAGUCACUUCACCAAUUGUCUUCUGUGACAUGAGGCUGUGAGAGCUGAAUGCUGGCAUUUGUAUGGCUAGAACAAUUAAUUACAGCUGAAAAUGUGGUAAUACAUGACCUGGGAUGAUGGUGCAAAAACAAUUACAUUAUUACCCAGAAAAAGUCACAAUGAUCGAAGUAUUGUCUGCAUGUUCCACCAUAUGCACAAUGUCUAUGUUGCGAGUGAAUUAAUUGAUAUGUAUGCAAAAUGUGGGAGCUUGGAUGAUGCACUCAGGAUUUUUGAGAGUAUGCCUCAUAAAAAUGAGGUUUCAUGGAAUGCCAUGAUUUCUGCUCUUGCUUUCCAUGGGCAGGCCCAGGAAGCAUUAUCAUUAUUCAGAGGCAUGUCAAAGGAUAAUGGCACUGUUCAGCCUAAUUGACAUCACUUUCAUAGGAGUACUUGUUAUGAUCCUUGUUAAAUUUUUAGGGAAUGGAAGUUCUGGUGAACCAGAGCAUUAGGGAGACUUCAUUACAAUCCUUAGCAUUGAUUGUGGAGAAGUGAGAAAUAUCAUUCCUAGUGAAGUCCCAAGUGUUCUUGAAUCAAAGCUCCAGGUUAAUUUGUUCUCUCAACAUGCUUGCUUAUAUUUUCCUUUAUUAAUCUUGUACACAAAAGAACUGUAUAUAGGCAGCCUCGUUUCAUUAUUGUUCUAUAAAUAGAAAUUGGAUGCGGACAUCAAGGACGCGAGGAUUGCAUAUUAUUUUGAUUUCAUUGCUGGGACAAGCACUAGAGGCCUUAUGACAUCCAUGCUUACUGCUCCAAAUGAUGAAAAACGACCUUUGUUUGCCGCAAAAGAUAUUGUAAGUUUUAUCAAGACCACAAUCCAGGCACCAAGUAAUUUAUGGUAUUUUUGAGCUACGGUUUUUUUUAUGUUGCUUUUUUUAUGGUAUUUUUGAGCUAUGGUUUGGAAUUGUACAGAAGUAGUAUUCUAUGGUGAUUCAUCCUUUAGGGUGUGGGGUUUAUUCUUUGUUAAAGAAAAGUAAUGUGUUUUUCCGGUGCUAAAAAAAGGAAAACACUUUCGUUUUGAAAAAAGGGUUGUGUUGUCCUUGGUUGGAAACCACUUUCUUGGAAAGUGGUUUCUCAAAGUUUACCAAACAUAGAAUAGAAAAGAUGGGAAAAUUGAUUCCAGGAAAAUAGUUUCAUGAAACAAACAAGGUUAGUAUUUUAAUGCUCCCUUCUUUGCUUUCUUAACUUUCUCCUUGUUCUGGCUAUUGCAGCAGGAAAUAUGAUAAAGCUAAAGGACAUGCUAGGAAGAAAAGAAGUGAGAUCCUGAAAUGCAUUUUGCUUUGUCAGUGUUUUAAGCAAGUGGAGGUAAUUAAAGAUUCUAACAAGAGACUUAACUUUAUUUUCAUAUAUUCUUUCACUGGAUAUUUGUCCAUGUCUAAUUGGAUCUAUUAUUCUUGUAAUUCUUGUUUUCUAGUUUUUUUUAGAGGAAGUUUUUUUUCUUUUAAGCGGUGAAAGCUAAUGAUAUCAGGUUUUCUAGUUUUCUGCACAUCACUUUUGGAACAUUAGAGACCUGGUCUGAGCGUAAUCAAAUGAAUUUAAUCAAGCAUUGCGGCAUAUGCUGGAUGUUUGAGAUUAUAGUAUUGAGAAGUGGGUUGAAACUUAGAAGCCAUCAUACACGUGGAGAUGAAUUGUUAUGUGGAAUCUAGCUCGAGACUGCUUUGAUUCAUUUGCUCACCCGGGGAGUGCUGUCGACAGAAUGCUAUGUUCACAGGAUCAAUACUCUCGGUUACUGAAGCUUUAGAUCAAGCAAAUUCUCCAAGUGCCACAAGUUUAUAUACAAUCAGUGAAAUAAAUUUGAAUUGGUAUUUGUGUUGUAAUGUAUCCCCUUUGAUAUAAAAUAUUUUUGGAUAUUUGUGUUGUAAAUUUGAAUCGAUCAUAUGUGAAAAUCAAGUAAUAAUGUAAUAUAAAAGGGAAGUAAAAACUCAUGGAAUUGAAAAGCCCCCGCUGUGUAAAAACCCACAAAACCGAAUGGAACUAUAUAAAUUAAUACAACAUCGCUUGAGCAUGCCUUUAAGCUUGUUUAAAUCUUAAAACUAGAAUACAUAACGAUACACCAAGUCUUAGUACCAUGAAAACCCAAGCUUGGAUAAAAUGGGAAGAUUUUCCACUAGAAAAUAAUAGCAAUUGUUGAUACUCACCUCGAUAAAGUGAAACCAAGCUCAUCGCCAAUAUGGAUUUAUGUAUAGAACUGAAACUAUUACCAGCAGCACUAUGAGGUAUGCAACCUCAAAGGUCACAUAGAAAACCUCCAUAUCCAUGAAGCCACCAUUAUCUUCAUUGUUCGUUGAAGUUGGUGUUGGUGAUGGUGGCAUAGCCACACAGUUCUCCAUAAAGAAAAGGGUUGUCCUUGUAGCAACUCUCAUCAAACGUGGCAAAAUGUGCAACUCUUGCAGGAGUCCUGCCGGACAGAUUAUUGUGUGCCACACUGAAAAACUCUAGAGAAAAUAGUUCAGUAAGUCGAGGUGGGAUUUCUCCAUCCAAAUUGUUGUAGGAAAGAUCCAAGCUCUCUAUUUCCUUUAAGUUUGAAAAUGUUGGUGGAAUUGGUCCGGUCAAACCGUUGUGCGAAAGGUUCAAUGCCUUGAUCAUACUGAGGUUUCCAAAUUCAGGAGGAAUCUUCCCGGUGAAAUUGUUGCAUGAGAAAUCAAUUCCUAUGAAGUACCAUAUAUUGUCGCCUCUAUAAGAAAGGGAUACAUUCUUUGUUGUAAACUCGAAGGAUUGUUGUGAUGAGGAUAUAGAAUCAUAAAAUUGUAUAACUGUGGGAAAGGAUGAGUAGAUAUCAUCCAAGAGAGGAUGUAACCAGAAAGGUGAUUAUGAGAAAGAUCAAUCAAGGUUAAUUAGUCCAACCUGGAUAAUUGAAUUGGGAUUUCACCUUCAAGAUUGUUAUAACUCAAGAGUAGAAAUCUCAAGUUAGAUAGCCUAUCAAUCCAUUCUGGAAUUGUACUAGUUAAAUUAUUAUGGGAAAGAUCCAAUGCCACUAUCUCAGCGGGGUCAUAAAAUGCCAUUGUGAUCGGUCCUUGCAACUUAUUUCUAGACAAAUAAACAUAUCUCAAAUUUGAAGAAGUGCCAAAUCUAGGUGGUAAACGACCAGAGAAAUUGUUCCCUGAUAAGUCCAAGAAUUCAAGAGAAGACAUAUUCCCUAUCCCUUCAGAGAUCUGCCCUUGCAAAUUGUUGUUGGACAGGUCUAACACCAACCAGGGUUAUAUGUUUGUGAGUAUGGGUUAUGGUUUAGCCUUUGGAAACUGUUUAAAGCAUGAGCUUAUUCAUGGAGGCAUUCCCUAAAAGAAGGCAAAGUUGGACAAUCAUUUGUUGAGUGUUCAUUGGUUUCACAGAUUUGACACACAAUGUCUUGAACAGAUUUUAAUUGACCACUCUUUUUCAAUUCAAGUGCUUCGACUUUUCUAGCUAAAGAUGCAAACUUGGCUUGGAGGUCAUGAUCUUCCCUAAGGUUGUGCAUACCUCCACUAGAUGUAUGAGGUUGAGUUUUACUUGGUGCCUCAUAAGUACCUGUGGUGUCCCAAUUUUGAGCAUUUUCGCUAGCAAGUCUAGGUACUCCAUUGCUUCAUUAGGGUCUUUAUCUUCAAAAGUUCCAUUGCACAUCAAUUCAACCAUUUGCCUAUCUCUAGGUGUUAAACCUCAUAAAAAUGUGAAACCAAUCUCCAUGUUUCAAAACCAUGAUGUGGGCAAGUAUUAAGCAAAUCUCGAUACCUAUCCCAACAUUGGUAAAAUGUUUCUCCUGGCUUUUGAGUGAAAGUGAUGAUUUGUCUUUUGAAAGAGUUUGUUCUGUGAGAUGGAAAAAACUUCUUUAAAAAUUGUUGUUGCAUAUCAUCCCAAGCACGAAUGGAUCCUGGUCUCAAAUUUUGUAGCCAUGUUUUAGCUUUAUCUUUUAAUGAAAAAGGAAAAAGCUUUAAUCGAAUGGUGUUCAUGCUACAAUUUGAGUCAUUAUAGGUAUUACAGACCUCCUCAAAUUCCCUUAAAUGCAAGUAUGGAUUUUCUAAGUCUAAGCCAUGAAAAGAUGGUAAAAGUUGAAUAAUGCCUGGCUUAAAAUUAAAAUGAGAUGCAUCAGGAGGGAAAACUAUGCAUGAGGGUGCACUUGUUCUUGUGGGAUUCAUGUGGUCUCUAAGUGUUCUCAUACGGUUAUUCUCAUUAUUCUCAUUAUGAAGUGAUUGAUUAUCUUCUUCGGCCAUAUUUUCUGAAAAUGAUGAGGAUACCCUACAAAGUCUACCACUUAAUGUACGUGACCAAACUCUCAUGCACGUGUAAGAAGAGAAUAAAAGCAAGAAAAGAAAAUAGAAGAAAAAGAAACAAAACAAAACAAAAAACAAAAAUAGAUAAAAUGAAAAGUGAAAAGAGAAAAUAAAUUAAAUAUUAUAAUUUAUACAAGAAUUUACCUCCCCGGCAACGGCGCCAAAAACUUGACACGACCAAAAGCUUGAUGUCUUUCCCAAGUGCAGGAGUGUCGAAGUAAUAAAUAACCCGGCAAGACCGGGGUCGAACCACAGAGAGGUUAAUUGUAUAAAUUAUAAAUAACAAGACAACAACAACAACAAAACAACAACAAUAACAAUAAUAAUAAUCUCAGUACGUGGCGUUGUUAUACCUGAGAAUGAUCUAAAGAUCGGGUCACAGGUUUCCAGCCUAUAUACUGAGUUUAUGAAAAGAUCAAAGAUAUAUAUAUAUAUAUAUAUAAAACAGAAUGUAAAUAAUAAUAAUAAUAAUAAAACAGAAGAUGAAGAAAUUAAUGAGAACUUUGAGAUAAAGAUUAACGUAAGGAUUAAACAAUGAUAAAAACAAAUGUCAAGGUUAGAGGAUCCACUAAUGGUACUUCAAACAAGUAUAAUAUAAACUCUUAUUACUCAAUUGGAAACCACACAUAAAGGAGGUUCCAAUCAGAUUAUAAAUUGUUAACAUGAUUACAUUAAUUAUCUUAUUCGAAUAAAGCUAAUACUUGUAAAUGUUGGCAGGCAUUCAUGAUUAUAACUUAUGUUAACAACAAAUCAAGUUCCUUUCAUAGCUCAGGUGUCGGUUAAACCAUACAGUAUGGGCUAUGAAAGUGCCAAGUAUUUGUUGUACCAAGUGUUAUACAACAUAAAUCUAGAUUAACCAUUUAACAAGCAAAGUAUUAAAGUGAACAAGAUAACAAAUAUAAAACAUGUUAGUAUCCAACGUUAAGGUCCAUGUUAAGUUUAUAUUAUACUUGUUCUUACACCAUUAGUGUACCCUUUUCACCUUGACAUAAUUAACUUAGCUAACAUAAUGAAAAGAAACAUAAAUGAAACAAGAAACAUAAAUGAGAAAGAAGUUAACUAAAAAAGGAAAGGAAAUGAAGUGCAUAAACUUGAUAUUAAUGAAAGCAAGACAUAAGCAAUACAAAGAGAGAAAGCAAGAGCAUGAUCUUGAUCUGAACACCAAGAUGCCUCAAUACAUGGUAAGUGCCUCCUUUUAUAGGCCAAAAUUUGGAACUAUUGAUUUGUUGACUAAUUGAUGAGUGGGUGGCCACAUCUUGACUAGAUAACAAUCCUUAUCUUCUUGUCUGAUCAAGACGUCAUUGCUAACAUCAUAAUUUGCCCAGAAUCCUCAAGAAUGUUCUAGGAAAUUGUCUCAGCUUUCCAACAAAAAAAAGAUGAGGUCAUUUGGACUUCUAGAACUCAAGAUAUGGGCUGAACACUAAAUAGUGUUUGGGCUGCAGGACAGCUUCGGACUUCUUCGUUGUUCCUUCAAUUUGGACUUCAAAACGACCUUUUCAAAUCUUGGGCUCCUCAUGAAAGUUGUAGGCCUUCUUUACCUUUCCAUCCAUAUAAAGUGGACCUAAAUCCGAAAUCUAGAGCUCCAGAUAUGAUCCAAUUACCGAGCAAUGUUCCGGUUUGGACUGCACCGACAUCUCUUUUCUAAGUUUGGCCAUCUCUUUGUCCUUUAACUUUCAAUGCUUAAACUCAUCAAUCAAUCCUUUUAUUUAUGUGAUAGUCCUGCAUUUAAAAUGAGCAUUUACCAUAAAUUAAGGUAUCUUAUAAUAUCAAACUUGUUAUUAUAAAACAUGCUUUAGUUAAGGAGUUAUUGAUACUUCAAGUGUAAAAUGAUGAUAUAAAACCUUGAUAAACAUGCACUUUUAAGUAUUAAUCACUAACCCACAUCAUGAAAAAAAUACAGAUAGCAAUGGUCUCACAGACCCAUCCAACACUGCAAAUUCCUAUCCAUCUUACUUGUUGAUUGUGUUACAAAAAAUACAUCUAUAAGUACUUUAGAAAUAAAAAGAAGAAUUAUUUUCAUGACAAUGAAAAGAAGUAUUUUAGAAAUAUUUAUCAUUUAUGGUUCAUUUUAUCAACGAUACUAUUUGAUUUUGCCAUCACCAUCAAAAUUAAGGCAUGAUUUUCCACACACUAUUUCCAUAAUGAAAGUAGCAAGUCUUAUGUAUCCAUCGUUAUCAUGCAAAGUUAGCUUCCUAGCAUUAACCUUUUAUUCAUAUUUUUCCAUAAAACAUUAGGUAACUUAAAUAUGUGCAAUAUAUAUUUUAAUACCAAAAUAAAUAUGGAUUAGUUAGAAUAAUUAUAACUAACUAAUAUAAUAGGUUUUAAUAUUUAUUUUUAAUAUAUAUAAAAUGAAAGAUAUUAUGAUCUUUUGAUUAAUGAUGUUAAGCUAGCCACGUAUGUUUAUAAAAAUAAUUUCUAUCAACCAAAUGAUAUGCUUAAGAGUUUACAAGAUGUAUUUUGAAUUUAAUAUUAAUAAUUAUAGCUUCCUAAAAUAAGUUUAUUUAGUUAAUAAAAACUGGUCUAUUUUUGUUGUCUCGUCUCUCUCUCUCACUUUUGUUCUUUCUUCUUCUUCUUCUUCUUUUUCUUCUUCUAAGCUGCUUUGUCUCUCUUUCUGUCCCCCAUUAUCUCUCAAUCCAUCAAAAUUCUAAAUACAUUGCAUUUAGCGUUAAUAAGAAUGAUACCCAUUGAAUUAUACAUAUUAAUCACUUGAUGAAAAAUUAAAUAUGACUAAAUACAAAAAAAAUAAAAAAAUGCAAAAAUAAUGAUUAAUUAGUCGGUGGUUGCAUUCUAACACACUAAAUUGAGAUUUAUUUUUUUAUACAAGAUGAAAUUAAAAUUAAAGCAUAUUAUCCCUUCUCAAGCUUACGAGCAUAUAUGGUCUUACGGACUUAUGUCAUCUCCUAGAAAAAACUCUUGAUAGCAAUAGUCUCACAGACCCAUCUCACACUGCACAUUUCUAUUCAUCUUACUUCUUUAAUUGUGGAUUCAAUCAAUGUUAUUAAAAUCAAUUUCAACAUAAAAUUAUUUUUAAUAUCACAAUAUCAAAAAAUUUAAAAAAAUAAAAAAAUAAUUUAAAUAAAAAAAAUCAAUUUUUUGUUCUAUUUUUAUUCGGAACACAAUACCAACCAAUUAUUAAAAUCUAGUUUAGCUUGAGAGGAUGUGAUUAAAAUAAUUAUUUUGAUAAAUUUCGUUGAUUACAUUCCUAUCCACCAUUUUGAUUGUCAUAACCCAAUUUUUGAUCCUUUUAUUUUAAUGAUUAUUUUUUUUUUUUUUACUGAAAAUGAUAAUAAUAAUGAUGAUGAUGAUGAUGAUGAUGAAAAAGUUAAAAUGAAAUAAAUAAAGAAUGAAUUAAAAUUUGGGUUAAGGGCAACAUGAUUGGAAGUUUAAAGAUUUAAUUAAAUUUUUGACUAAUUUAAUUAAUCAAGUCAAGGGUUUAAUUGGAGAAUUGAUAAGUUUUGAGACUUGAUUAAGCUUGAAAUUAAUUUAAUUAAUCCAAUCAAGGGUUUAAUUAGGGAAUUGACAAGUUUUUAGACUUAAUUGGACUUGAAUUUAAUUAAAUUAAUGAAAUCAGGGACUUAAUUGAAGAAAUAGAAAAGUUUGGGGUUAAUUGGGGGCAUGAUUGCAGCAGAUUAAAGUCCAAGGACUAACUUGUAAAAGACGCUGAAAUGCAGGGGGGCAAUUACAGUUUAAACCAGGGGCUUAAUUACAAGACUUUCAAAACUGCAUGGGUCAAAACAUAAAAUGGUCGUCUUUUAUCUCCAAACGACGUCGUUUUGAAGACGAUGUUCAUCUUCUUCGCCUUUAAGCCAGUGAGGGUUUUCUACAGUAAAGGAGGGAGAAUGUUGCAGUAGUAAUCGUCGUCUGCUGGCUUUAGUUAUGGGCACCUUAAUGGUGAUCAACCCUCAGUCUACCACCCGUUAUCAACCCGCCAGGCUUUAUAUAAACAUGACAGCACCAAAAAACAGAGGGCAGUGAGAGGGAGAGAGAGAUGAAAGAAACCUGGAAAAAAAAAAAAAGAGAAACACAAAGACACCAGCCGAAUUUUUAAGUGUUUUUCUUUAACCCCAUACCAAAAACAAGCUUCCCCUCACCAGUACUGGCCUAAAGAACGAAGGAAGAAACAGACUGAGAGAGAGUAGAGAGAGUUUUAAAAAAACAAAGCAUUGGGAUAAUUUUUCAGACGAGAGCAGAGGAAACUAAAGGCAGGAAAGCAGAGGUAGAAGGAGGAAUUCUAGUGUCCUAUCAAUGGACGCCACCGUUGAUCUUCGUCUGACACGCUAACACUCCGGCAAAGUAACCUGCAGCAAGGUAAGCCUUCUUUUCUUCUUCGUUUUUGUUUCUUAAGUUCAGUGCAUUCAGCACUAUGCGAAGGUAAUUAAUUACCUUCACACGGUGCCAAGCACGCAUGAAACUAGUUCAUGUGUGCUGUGGCCCAGCUGGGUCGAGCCCAACCCAUGUGGGCUGCGUUGGGCCCAGCCCCUAAAAAGAAAUAGAAAAAUAAAAAAUAAAAAAAUAAAAAAUAUAGAAAAAUAGAAAAAUAUGUGUAUGCAUGAAUAAAAAUAAUAUAAAUUUACCGGUUUAUUCACCAACGCCAGAGUCGGGAAUAAAAUACUAGUUUAAAAUUAUAUUAUUUUUAUUCGUUAUAUUUUAUUUUAUUUUAUUUAGCAAGAAAAAGUAAAAAAUAUUGUGCAUGUAUGAAAAGUAAAAUUUAUUUUAUUGGUUUAUUCACUAACGCCAGAGUCAGGAAUAAAAACACUGAUUUAAUUGUUUUUUAUUUUUUUAUUUAACCACAUAAGAAAUAAAAACAAAUAUGUGAAUGCGCAAUAAAAUGAGUUUAGUUUAUUUUUUUAUUCACUAGCGUUAGAGUCAGGAAUAAAAAAAUAUUGAUCUAAAUUUAUUUUAUAGCUACGUAAUAGUUACCAGCGCCAGAGUUGGAAUUAUCCGUAGUUGAAUAUUCAUUGCCGCAAGAGUCAAGAAUAUUGCGAAUAAACCAUCAGAGCAUAAACCAAUAAAAAUUUAGCAAUUUAAGACAAAACCAGCAAUGCAGUUUGUCUUAGGCAGAACGUUUAAAAGGUGAUAAUAUCUUCCCUUUUACGUAACCAGUCUCGAACCAUAGAAUCUCUGUUAACCAGUUAGGGUUCCUGGUGACCAUAAUACUAGGUGGCGACUCCUUAAAUAAGACCUUUUUUUUCUAAAAGAACCAGAUGCCAGAAAUCUGUUCUUUUUCCUUAAUCAAAAAUUAUUUUUUAGGGUCGACGCGAUGUCGGGUGCGACAGAAUGGCGACUCCACUAGGGACUAAUGGACUAAGCUUUGCCUUUUGUUUGUCAAUUGCUAUAAUAUUUGUUAUGUUGUGUUUAUUUGUUUAUUUUUCUUGCAUUUACUGCUUUAGCAUGCAUCCUUGUUUAUAUUGCCAUGCAUCACGUUAAGAGCACGCACUUUACAACCUAGGAUAAGUGGGGGAGUAACGGUACCCCAAUGGCUUUAGGCUGGGUAAGACUCGUGAAACAAUCCAACUCUCCCUUGAUUGUUUACUUCGAAGUGGUUGAUAUGUCAAACUGAUAUUACUCAAGGCCUUUAUCUUCACACUACUUGUAAGCCUACUUGUAAGCCUCAUAUCGACCUUUUCAAAUAUGAUCACUAAGCAUGCGAGAGACCUUUUGAAACUAGAUAAUGACUAACCCCUUAAUGCACUCAACAAUUAGGAUCUUCCUACUAGGUUGUCAUCCCGUGAGGGGCAAGUUUGCAUUUCAUAUAUUUUUUUUAAUCAACAUUUUUGCAUAAUUGCAUGAUUUACAUUUAGCAGGUUGAAAUAUAGGUUCCCCAUUUAAACCUGCCAAUAACACUCGUUCGAGAAAAAGACAAAUGGAAAAUGAAGAAAGAACCCAGUUGGAAGCCCACCAUCAAAAGGAGGUGGAUAAUCUUAGAGAAAAAGUCACAAGGCUUACUAGUCUACUCAAGCAGGAUUAAGAGAUAAAUUCAAAAAAGCAAUACUUAUAGCUCAACCUGAAGAUAUGCAUGUAACUCAUUUCGAUCCACAAAAUCUAGGGGCAAAUAGGGUGUCAUCUGAAUUUCAACAAGCUAUGCAUUUCCAGCCAGCAUACCUCUCAAAAAUUUCAUCUACCAUUGAUUCUACCGAGAAAGAAUCUCAAAAGGGCAAGAUGGUGAGAGAAGAGGGUUUGGAAAAAUAGACUACCCUAGAAGAGAGGAUAAGGGCAAUUGAGGGAAACCAUUUGUGUGACUUGGUGAAAGCUGUCAGUAUGUGUUUGGUACCUAACAUAGUCAUUCCUAAGAAGUUUAGGGUGCCAGAAUUUAUUAAAUAUACAGGAACUCAAUGCCCUAUAACUCAUCUCAAAGCAUACUGCAACAAAAUGGCUGAGGUGGUUGAUGAUGAGAAAUUAUUGAUUCAUUUCUUCCCGGACAGCUUGAGUGACGUUACCCUCACUUGAUAUAUGCAGUUAGACAAUACCAAGGUUAAAAAAUGAAAGAAUUUAGUUGAUGCCUUCAUGAGGCAAUAUAAGAAAACAAGAAAAUCAAUUUUUUUGAGCCCUCGCUUUUCUUUGAUUGAUUUAAUCAAAUCACACAAUCAAAGAAAACAAGAAAAAAUAUUUAAUCGAUAUAAUAAUAAAAUAUAUAUAUAUAUAUAUAUACUAGAAUAGGUGGCACUUGAAUAGCUUUGAAUGUUCACAUGCAUUAUCUUCUAGGCAAGAAGAGAUAAUAAAAGCAAGUGAUGUUCUUUUCUCUAGCUGUAAAUGGAUGGAGACAUCAAUACCAAAAUAAAUAUUGUCGCACGUCAAAAAAAUCCAAUUGCGGGUCCAAUGGCGAUUUUUCUUUUGUUUUUGCUUGAUUUGGUUCUUUGGAGUCGCCACCUAGUAUUUUGGUCACUAGGAACCCUAACUGGUCUUUCAGAGAUUCUAAGGCAAGGAACUGGUUGCGUAAAGGGAAGGUAUUAGGACCCCUAGUACGCCCUACCUAAGGUAAGCUGCUUGGUUUUUGGUUUGCUCUAUAAUUGCUAUGGUGUUGGUGUUUUCUAAUCCCAUCAUUUUUCCUAGGUUUGAUUCAAAUAAAAUUUAUUUAGAUAGAAAUCCAAGGAGAUUCCAUGUGCUUUGAAAGCUCAUUUUUCCCUUAGUAUUUCAAGAGUUUGCGACUCGUAAAUCACAAGGAAAAAGGGACCAAGAUUUAGAAAUCUAAGGAAAUUCAGAGCGCUUUAAAAGCUUCUUUUUGCCUUAGUAUUUCAUACUUUCACGGCUCGUAAACCAUGGAGACAAAAGUUGAAAUAUCCUCGAUUAUAAUCAAGGCUUCUUUCAAGGAUGUGUGCGGAUUUAUUACUCCCAAUAAUAUUUUGGAUAUUCGUCAUUUAAGGAUUUCUUUAUCCAAACAUUAGCGGUGAAUAAUAGAUGAAUUCUCCCUACCCAAAAUAAGAUUUUUUUAUUUUUUAGAAUAUUAGCCCAUACCCUUUGGAGUUUUACAAACAUGUUGUAAAAUCCAGAAAUGCAAGAAAAUAAUUUGUGUUUAAGAAAUCUAUGCGAAAACACAUAUUCAAAGCUUCUAAUAUUUUUUAUAUAUAAAAAGAACAUUCAAAACAUGUUAGAGUAUUGGCCGUAUGCAACACGCAAGAAAACAUUUUUUUUUUGUAAACAUUUUUUUUUUACGAAACCGCGUAUUUUAAUACUAAAUUUGUAUCUCCACAGUAUAAAAAUACAAACCAAUAUUAAGUCAUUUUAAAAAAUGUGCGGGAAAAAUCAACAAUAUUUUUAAGGAAUUUUUGAGAAUUUUUUUGAAAGCAAAAAAAACAUUUUUUAUCUUUGAAGAUCUUGGAUGUCUUGACGAAAAACCGGGCAUUUUAAAUACUGAAUUUGUAUCUCCACAGUAUAAAAAUACAAAUCCAUAUAAAACAAAAAAAAUAUAUGAAAAGAAAACAAAAAUAUUUUUUAGAUUUUUUCAGAAUUUUUUAAAAUAUAUAUAUAUAUACACACACACACACAUAAUAUAAUAUAAUAAUAAUAUAAUAUAAUUUAUAAUAUAUUUAUAUAUUAGGUGGGCUGGGUCGGCCCAACUAAAUGGGCCGGACUCAGCCCCAAAAGGGAUUGGGCCGAUUUCGGCCCAAGAAAAAAUCCUACCUUGGUCUGGGCCGGACCCGGCCCAGACCGCCGGGUUGGGCCAGAAUCCCUUUGGCCCAUCUACAUGUUUCUGGGCCAGAACCCGUCUGGCCCAGAGGAGAAGACCAGAACGGGGGGAAUUAUUUUCCCCCCGUCCCCUGCAUGCAGAACGAUUCUGCAUGCAGGAGACGAAACUCGUGCAAAUUAAAAAAUGUGCAGGGGAGGAUGCAUACCUGGCGCGGCGGAGACGAUGGCUUGCGAGCGGUGCUGCGGUGGAGGCGGUGGUAGUGUCCGAACUCACGGCGGCUCCUCACAGCGAUUUCCAAAUGGUCUGGCGACGUCCUCUCGGUUCGUUUGCUUGGUUUUGGUUUUCUAAAUUCCCUCCCGGCUUCAAACCUUCCCUUUUGCUCUCGGCUUCAAACCUUCCCUUUUGCUCUCGGCUUCAAACCUUCCCCUUUGACUCACUCCUCUGUUAUGGUGUUUCUCUCUCCUCCUCUCUCUCUUCGGUUUUCUUAGUUUUCUUCGGGUUCUCUUUCGUUUCUUUUUUUUUUUCGGUCUGUUUCUUCUCUAUUUAUAGGGAUAACAGGGCAAUGGCUUUGUCCUGGCCGCAUGGGGAGUGGGGCACGCUGGUCGGUCGGUCGACAGGCGCCAUUGCCAAGGCGGGUUUCCCUCGGUUUCGGUAGCGCGGCGGGUGGAUGGCCAUUGGCUUCGGUUUCGGUGGUCCCAAGGCGUGGAGCGUCGGGUCACGGCACGUGAGGAGAGAGGCGGGAACAAAAACCCCGGUUUUCCUCUUCCCUGUUGCGCAUGCGGGGGAAGAAGAAAGGGAAACAGUGCCGUUCAAAACGGCACCGUUUGGUCUCUCUUUCUUUUCUUUUUUUUUUUAAAUGUAUGAAACGGCGUCGUUUUGGAGAAAACGCGCCGUUUCAUUCAAAUGUGGCGCCAGAAACGCGCCAAUGAUCAGAUCAGCCCCCCAAUUAUUUUUGUUCAUUUCAAUUGCGUCCCUGCCAAUUUCGGUCCCCACCCCCAUAGUUGGCCGCGUUUUCCACUUUGGUCCUUGGCCUCUGAUUUAUGCAAUUUAGCCCUCAAUUGAUCAAUAAACUUCCAAUUUCUUCAAUUAGGCCCCUGAAUCAAUUCCAAACAGCCCCCUCUAUUUUUACAUCUUUUCCAAAUUGGUCCCUGGUUUUGGAUUUUCACAAUUAAGCCCCUAAUUGGCCAUUAAACUUCAAUAUUUAUGCAAUUAAGCCCCUGAUUUGACCCAAUAAAAUCCUAAAAAAUAUAUUUUGGCCCCAGAACUUAAAUUUCUUCUAAUUAAAGCCCAAAUUGACUUAAAAAUCAAUUUUCCUUGCAAUCAAAUCCUCUAUAAAUCCAAUUAAAAAUCCAAUUAAGUCCAUAAACAUUCAAAUUUGGGCUUUUCUCCUCAAAAUUUAAAUUUUCCUUCUAAACAGGGCCCUCAUCCUUCAAGAAUAUACUGUCAAAAAUCCAAUCUUUGUAUUUUUAUACUCCUUGACCAAUUUUCUGACCAUCUUCUGAGUGCUUCUGCCUUCCGUUAUUUUUCUAACCUCCUUUGGCUAUUUAUUUUAUUUAUUUUUGUAGGGACCCGAAAAUGGGUUACAACAAAUAUGAAUUAGUUAGAAUAAUUAUAACUAACUAAUAUAAUUAGUUUUAAUAUUUACUUUUAAUAUAUAUAUAAUGAAAGAUAUCAGGAGUUGAUUAAUGUUGAAAUUAAAGCAUAUUACCCCUUCUCAAGCUUAUAGGGCAAUGAUCUCAUGAACCUGUCUCGUAGAAAAAACAAAAAAAUGCUUGAUAACAAUGGUUUAAUGGACCAUCUCACUGGCCUAUAUCGUGAAAAAAAUGCAAACGAUAAUAGUCUCACAAACCCAUCUCACACUGCAAAUUCCUAUCCAUCUUACGUGUUGACUGUGUUACAAAAAAUUGAUUGAUAAGAACUAUAGAAAGAAAAAAAAAAGACUUAUAGUCAUGACAAUAACAAGAAGUAUUUUAGAAAUAUUAUCCUUAAUUGCAUAAAGAAAUAAAAUAUUAUCCUUUGUUGUUCAUUUCCAUAAAGAAAAUAGCAAGACUUAUGUAUCCAUAAUUGUCAUGCAAAGUAAGCUUCCUAUCGUUAACCUUUUAUUCAUGUUUUUCCAUUAAAAAAAAAAUUGACAUGGGGUAACUUUAUAAAAAGAAUACAAGUUUUCGGUUAAUUACUUUUAUGAAAUUCAAUUAUUUUUUUUUCUAUGAUGUUGUAUGUUUAAAUCAACAUUAUUAAAUUAGAUUCAAGAUUUAUAGUUAAUCUGGAACCUAACUUGAUUCAAGUUUUAAAAAACUCAAGUGAGAAUUGACUCAAUCAAACCUGAUUAACCAAAUAAAUCAAUCCACAAUCUAGUCAACCCAAUCAAAAUCCAAUUUAUUAAACCACUUAACAUAUUUAAAUAUGUGCAAUAUGUACGUAUUUUGAAUUUAUUAUUAAUAGUUAUAACUUUUUAACAUAAGUUUAUUUAGUUAAUAAAAACUGGUCCACAUCUGUUCUCUCAUCUAUCUCACACUAUUGUUUCCUUUUAUACUAUUUUUGGGGACUACUUUAUCUAUCUUUCUUUCUCUUUUGCCUCUUAUUAUACUUAUAAAACCUAUUCAAGUAAUAGAUUGAGUGAUUUAAUUUAUAAUAAUAUUAUUUUAAGAUAUAUUUUAACAAAAAAUUAUAACAAAGUCAUUUUAAAAAAUAUUUGAAAAGUCAAAUCUAGUUUCACUUGGAUUUUAACUAGACCAUAUGUUGACCUAAUAGAUUAAUAUAAUUUAAUCGAGUCAGCUCCUAUCCAGUUUAAUAAAACCUAGUUUGAGAGUAAAAUAAUAAAUGUUUUGUAUGAUUAAGUUGACCCGUUAAAUUAUACCGGAUUUAAUAACACCUCUCCCGGUUCUCAAUCCAUUGAACACAAAUUAAAAAAAGCUUUGCGUACAGAUGUUAGGGUUUGAUUAGAGAUUCGUUAUAGCAAAUAGGCUCAAAAGGUUGGAUAUGUUAUUAUUUCCUCCCCCUGUCCUCUGUUUUUCUUUUAUGCUAGCUAGCCUCUAAUUUUGGCUCUACCACCUUUCUAUAAUAAUACUCGCGACUAUUAUAAAUAAAAAAGAAGCAGAAGCGGAAAUAACUUAGCGCGGUUGUGUAUAGAUAGUUUCCUUAAAUGAAGCAUGUACAUGUCUGAUGAGCAGAAAGAAAAAAAAUGGUAAAUGAGGACAGCAUUGCAUCACCACCAUGGCAAACUCGGCAUUGCUGUGCAAAGGAGUGUUUGAUGUGCUAAGGAUAUAGAGCCAAGUAAUUGUUUCUUCUUUGAGACUAAGUGCCAGUGUGUAGCAGAAUGAGCCUUCCUUCUCUCCUUCAGGUCAAUCGUCUUGGAGAGCCUAUGUUCUUGCCUUGAUCAAGACUCCUAUCUUACUUAUUCAAUAAAUACAUCAUGUGUUUUUAUCAUUUCAUAUGGCUAAGACGAUUAUUGAAAGAAUUGUAAAUGCCACAAGAGAAACCUUUAUAUGGACAACCGUUAAAACCUCUAAACGAUAUCUACCACAAAGCAGCUUACCUCAAGUAAAUUACGCUAGAAGUACUAGUACCUUCUGUAGCCACAACUAGUCCAUUACUCUCGAAUCUUUAACAAGAUCAAUAUACUCGAGUUUUCCUAGCCACCUUGAACCAAACAACUAGCUAGGUGGCGACUCCUAAUUGAUGCCAUGAUGUUGCUGUGUCCAUGUGCGACACCAGGGAAGAAGUAGAUGCUGAUGAGGUCAUGUUAAACACUGUUCUUGCAGUUAAGGCUGGUGAAGCUAUACCAAUUGAUGGAGUUGUUGUUGAUGGUAACUAUAAAGUGGAUGAGAAAACUUUAACUGGAGAGUCAUUUCCGGUUGCAAACAAGUGGAUUCCAUAGUGUGGGUUGGAACUAUUAACUUAAAUGGUGUCAAUACUUCUCUCUGACACUCUAUGAAUUGUUUUUUAAUGCAUUUUGGCUUUGUGGUAAUGGGGUGUUAGAACUACCGCUUUAGCUGAAGACUGUGUGGUGGCUAAAAUGGAAAAGCUUGUGGAAGAAGCUCGAAACAGCAAGUCUAAAACUCAAAGAUUCAUAGACAAAUUUGCUCAGUACUAUACUCCAGGUUAGGCAUACUGCAGUCCAAUUACUCAUCCAGUUAUAUAGGCUUUCACUGAAGUAGAGUACCGAGAACGAGUAUUUGGACACAGCCCUUCACAUCAUUCUUUUAGAAUGAAUCGUCAGCUCCAUUGCUAGACAAUCCUACCUUUCAUUUUGUGGGAAAGUUUUCAUUUUAGUUCCUUGUUCAGAUUUGCAGCGGUGAUAUUCAUGCCGGCUUGCGUAGCAGUGAUUCCAUUAGAAUUACGAGUUCAUAACCGUGAUCACUGGUUUUACUUAGCACUGGUUGUUUUAGUCAGUGCAUGUCCAUGUGCUCUUAUCCUGUCUACACCAAUUGCAACUUUUUGUGCACUAACAAGGGCAGCAACAGCUGGUCUUCUGAUCAAAGGGAGGGUACUAUCUCGAAACACUAGGCAAGAUUAAGGCAAUGGCUUUCGACAAAGCCGGCACCUUAACAAGAAGUGAAUUUGUUGUCACAGAUUUCCAACAUCUCUGCGAUGAUAUAAGCUUAUACACGUUGCUUUAUUGGUACAGACUAGGUCUAUAAUUCUUCAAUUAUGGCGACCUUUACUCUUCACUGGCAAGUAAUGUUUAUGCAAGUUUCUCAGGGUAUCAAGCAUCGAGAGUAAAUCAAGUCAUCCAAUGGCAGCUGCGCUAGUCGACUAUGGAAGGUGGCAUUCAGUGGAACCAAAGCCUGAGGAUCUAGAGGGAUUUCAAAAUUUUCCUGGAGAAGGAAUCCAAGGAAAAAAUGAAGUGAAAAAUAUAUGUAUUGAUAACAGAAAGAUUGCUCACAGAGCUUCCGGAACAGGUAAAAAGCCCUAAUUAUAUCCUGGUAAGAAUAAACAAUAUGAUUCACAUUUCAAACUAACCAUAUAUAAAAUAACUUUCAUCUUGAAAGUUUUUGGCAGUCUUAUAAAAUAACCAUGAUUUCUAUCGAUUUGUAAUCUGAUAUGUAAAUCGAUCGGUUCCUUUAAACUAACAAUAUAUGAUGUGUUAUAAUUUAAUUUUUUAUUUUAAAAAAAUAAAAAUUAAAAAUUAAAGUUAAAAAAUUAAACCAAGAUAAUACAGAUUGAGAAUUUGAGGACUAAUAAAGAUGAGAUUAUAAAUUUAAAAGUUAAUUUAGUCAAAACUUGAAAGAAUUGAUAAGUUUGAGGAAUUAAGUCAAUUUUAAAUUAGUUUAAUUAAUAAAAUUUAGAGUUUAAUUAAAAAAAAAUAUCAAAGUUGGGGAUUAAUUUAAGUUAAAAUUAUAAAAAAAAUAAAGUUAAAAAAUCAAAAUAAAUGAAUGGUGAUAUCAUAGGAGGGUUAAUUAAUUAUUCCAAAAGUAAUUUUAAAAUAAUGAAAAGUUAAAUAGCUAAGUAAAGAAUGAAUUAAUUAAAUUGAAAACCAAAAAUUGUUUUUGUAAAUGGCAACAGGGUUUCAAUUGCAAUUGAUCUAGGAGAAAAAUUAAAAUAGCAUUUUCAGGUGAAAAUAACGCCGUUUCAAAACAAACUAUUCAUCUCCUUCAUCCCACCGAUUCAGCAGAAAUGGCAGUAGAUCAUGGUCACGUCUCUAUCCAGUAUCUCUCCUCCACAAUGUGCCCCUAACAGUCCAAUAAUGGGCAUUUUUUUUCUCAAGCAUGACAUAGAGAAGACAGAGAGACUUGUGACCUUCCUCCAGCAAAAGGGAACUUCAACUUCCCCUCACCGUAGGUUGUUGAUCCAACCAACCAAAUACAAACCCAGAUAAACCAGGAAGAACAGAGAAAGGCCACAAAGAAGGGGAGAACCACGGACAUAUAAUACAAAAAAAAAAAAACACAGACGAAAUGAACAAACACAGAUAAUACAGAGAGAGACCAAGAGGAACAAGAACAGAGAGAGACAGAGAGAACAACAGAAAGCAAAAGAAAAAAGAGAGAAAACAAGCAGAGAAAAGCAAGAACAGAGGUGAAGUGAACGAAAAACAGAAGUAGAGGGGAAGAAAGUAACAUUGGUUUGCCAGCCCUCCAUCACCAUCGUCUUCGUCUUUAAGUAGCAGCUCCAGGUAAGUUUUUCUUUCUCUUUCCCCCGAUUUGCAGCUUCAAUUCUUAAUGAUAAUUGUAAUAAUAAUAACAAACAUGGAUUGUGGACCAUAAGGAACAGCGAACGAAAGGCCUUUUAUCAAUAUCCUAUAAUCUAGAAUAAAUCGGUCAUUUCUGCUUAUAAAAGCAUCUUACCGCUCAGGAUAUUCUAUACGCAAUACGUGACUUACCUUCAGCUAAAUUCAGCUAAAAAGUGAAUACUCUGGUUAUUAUCACUCCAGAGCUUUAUUUAAAAGCAAGCAUACUACCUGCAAGUCUAUCAGCAGCCUCCUCGGCUGGUAGUAGUAGCUUAACUCUCUCUAGAUAGUGCAUGUCUGCAUAGCUUUAUUAUUUGACACACAGUAAUACUUUGGAAACAUAAAAUAUCCGACACAGACGAGUGAAAGAGCAUAUUCUUUCUUUCCCUGGCAAAUUAGAAUGGCAACAAGAAGAAUUGUAAUCUGGAUUGGUUCAAAAUUAAGAGCCAAAGAUGUUAAUUACCUCAAUGUCUAGGAUUCAAAGCUUUUCACGUUUUCAUUUUGAUUGAUUGUUUCUCUAUAACGUGGAUCAUUUCUGUAGGUUUCAUGGUCUUGUGUCCAGAGACCGGAGCCUGAAGAAAACUCGUCUGAGGUGUGUCAUUGUUUUUCUGAUGUUAAUAAAUUUUAGAGCCCAACUGUUGGAAAAACUAAGAAUGAUGCAUGAUUGGACAUGCUAAAUGAGUUGUUCAUGUUUUCAUUGGUCUAUCUUGUAUAAUACGUACGGUCGAUUUUGUGUUUGAUGCCAGGCCAUCUAUCAAUGCCAACUUCUGGGCUGUAUUUUUCUCUCACUCAUUGACAAUUGCAUGACUAGGAUUUUUCUCUCACUCAUGGAAAUCGAAUUUUUUUUAUGAAGUCCCCGUGGUCUAUAAAUGUUGUUUCUUUGACACCGAAUAGACUUGUUAGGAUGUUGAUACGGAGACCUUGUCAUGUGCUUGAAGUGAUAUUUGUGAUUUCAGGCAAGUGCUCUUAUUUCUUAGAUGACAGAGGAGAGAUAUGCUGUUUUCCAGCAAAUUAAGCAACUUCAGCAAGAACUGGUAAGGUGCUUAGUAUGUGAAUAUAUCAUGUAAGCUUAAUUGCUGAAAUUCUUUUAGGACAACCUUGCCUUUAGAUCAGUUGUGACUUCAAGAAAUAUUAGGUACCAAGAAAAUAAAAAUACAAAGACAAAUCCAUAUUCUGUGAUGAAUUCAGUACAGGAAGAUAUUCCAACCUCAACUUCCAAACCCAAAAAAAAACAUCAUCGAACCCUAACUGAAAAGCUUUUAUCUCUGAUAAAACAAUGCAAAUCGAAAAACCUACUAAAACAAAUCAUCAAAAGGACUUCUGAACGAAGCUUGGGACUUAAUCAAGAAGAUGCCUGGAAAACGAGAUGAAAUUGUGUUGGGGUCAUUGCUUUGUGCCUGUCAGAGGCGUAGAAAUGCAGAUGUUGAUGAAAGGGUCAUUCAAUUGUUUCCAGAGAUGCAAUUAUCUCAUCUAAGAUAUAUGCAAAUAUGAGAAGGUGGGAUGAUUCUGCAAAGAUGAGACAGUUUGGUGUCUCUAGAACCCCUGGCUGUAGCUGGAUUGACGUUGGAGCUCGUGCUCAUGAAUUUCAUGCUGGUGGCAGCUUACAUCAUCAUUCGUAGAACAUAUACCAAUUUCUGAAUGAGAAGAUUAAGAGAGAAGGUUACAUUCCAAAUAUCGGUUGCAUAUAGAGGUGGAAAAGUUGAAUACUUGGUGGCCUCUUUCAGCCAUUGAGCAGUGCAUUCGGAGGGAUUGUAUCUUCUGGUUGAUGACUACAGCCAAAAUGUUGAAUGAUAAGUUGUGUUCUUAAGAGCUUGAGCAAGGAUCUCUAUCUUGCUAAUAGAAAUGUAUAGUUUACCCUCGCAUGAGUAUGUUUCUGUAGAAUGAAAAUGGUUGUUGGAUUGGUACAUGCAUUUGCUGUAAAAUAAUGCAAGUUCAUUGCGGAAAGAAUGCUAAAACUUUUUUUUUUUUCUUUCAGAACUUAAGGAGGGAAUAUUCGUGGAUUGAAAUAAAAUGUACUUGACACCUUUUAAGUUUUUAAGGGAUGCCAUAAAUCAUUUUCAAUAGUCCUCUAAGCCAUAAUGAUGUUCAGUUUCUGAACAGACUUCACUUGGAAUCUGACAAAACCCAAUCUACGAUUAAAACUUGUGUAGAAAGUGCCUCAUAACGCGACUCCAUAUCUAUUUGUCUUUCCCUAGUGGGACCUUGUAAUUUCAAUAGUUGAUGUAAAUGCAGUGUAAAAUGUUUUUAGGCCUUGAUUGUAGUUUCCGCUUGGAAACUAGUUUCUAUAAAAAAUAAAUUUUUUAGAGGUGAAUUAUUUUAUUUUUGUUUAAUUAUUAUUUUUUAAGUUUAUCUAAUAUAUAUUAAACGUUAAAUAUAAUUAUAAUACAAUAUGGAUGAGCCCUUAAUUAGACCCAUCAAAGCUAUCAUUUUCAUCGGUUCCAAUAACAUGAUAUUUUGUUGACAAUCUUAAGAAUUGAGUUAUAUACAUUUAAAUGCAGUGUACUCCAUAUUGUACUUGUUAUGAUCCUUGUUAAAUCUUAAGAAUUGAGUUAUAUAGCAUUAGGGAGACUUCAUUACAAUCCUUAGCAAUGAUUGUGGAGAAGUGAAAAAUUAAUAGCAUUCCUAGUGAAGUCCAAGUGUUCUUGAAUCAAAGCUCCAGGUUAAUUUUCUCAACAUGCAGCCUUGUACAAGAUCAAAUUAUUAAUCUUGUACCAAGAAAACUGGAAAAAGGGUUGUGUUUUCCAUGUUUGAAACCAUUUUCUUGGAAAGUGGUUUCUCGUAGUGUAUCAAAUAUAGGAAAGUUGUUUAUAGAAAAGUGGUUUUCAUGAAACAAAUAAUGCCAGUUUAGUUUUUUAAUGCUCCCUUCUUUGCUUUCUGAACUUUCUUCUUGUUGUAGCAAUUACAGCUGGAAAUAUGAUAAAGCUAAAGGACAUGCUAAGAAGAGAAGAAAUGCAUUUUCAUUUGUCAGUGUUUUAAGCAAGUGGAAGUGGAGGUAAUUAAAGAUUCUAACAAGAGACUUAACUUUAUUUUCAUAUAUUCUUUCACCAGAUACUUGUCAUUUGUCAGUCUAAUUGGAUCUGUUAUUCUUGUAAUUCUCAUUUUCUAGUUUUUUUUUUAGGAAGUUUAAUUUUUUUUUCUCUUUACCUUCAGGUAAAAGCUAAUCAUAUCAAAUACAAGGUUUUCUAGUUUUCUGUACAUCACUUUUGGAACAUAUUUUUGGAAUAAAUUUGAAUUGAUAUUUGUGUUGUAAUGUAUUCCCUUUAAUAUUAAAUAUUUUUGGAUAUUCAUGUUGUAAAUUUGAAUUGACCAUCCGUAAAUAUCAAGUAAUAAUGUAAUAUACAAGGGAAGUAAAAACUCAUGGAAUUGAAAAGCCCUCGCUAUAUAAAAACCCACAAAACCGAAUGGAACUGUAUAAAUUAAUACAGCAUCGCUUGAGCAUGCCUUUAAACUUGUUUAAAUCUUAAAACUAGAAUACACAACGAUGCACCAAGUCUUGGUACCAUCAAGGCUAUGAAAACCCAAACUUUGAUAAAAUGGGAAGGUUGUCCACUAGAAAAUAAUAGCAAUUGUUGAUGCUCACCUCAACAAAGUGAAACCAUGCUCGUCGCCAAUAUGGAUUUAUAUGCAAAACUGCACCUAUCACCAGCAGCACCAUGAUGUAUGCAACCCAAAAGGUCACAUAGAAAACCUCCAUAUCCAUGAAGCCACCAUUAUCUUCAUUGUUCGUUGAAGUUGGUGUUGGUGAUGGUGGCAUAGCCGCACCACAUAUUUUGGGUAGCGGUUCUCCACAAAGAAAAGGAUUGUCUUUGUAGCAGCUCGCCUCAAACGUGGCAAAUUGUGCAACUCUCGCAGGAGUCUUACCGGACAAAUUAUUGUGAGCCACACUAAAAACUUCUAUAGAAAAUAGUUCAGUAAGUCGAGGUGGGAUUUCUCCAUCCAGUUUGUUGUAGGAAAGAUCCAAGCUCUCUAUUUCCUUUAACUUUGAAAAUGUUGGUGGAAUUGGUCCGGUCAAACUGUUGUGCGAAAAGUUCAAUGCCUUGAUCAUACUGAGGUUUCCAAUUUCAGGAGGAAUCUUUCCGGUGAAAUUGUUGCAUGAGAAAUCAAUUCCUAUGAAGUACCAUAUAUUGUCUCCUCUAUAAGAAAGGGAUACAUUCUUUGUUGUAAACUCAAAGGACUGUUGUGAUAAGGACAUAGAAUCAUAAGGAUUAUAUAACUGUGGGGAAGGAUGAGUAGAUAUCAUCCAAGAGAGGAUGUUACCAGAAAGGUGAUUAUGAGAAAGAUCAAUCAAGGUUAAUUGGUCCAACCUUGAUAAUUGAAUUGGGAUUUCACCUUCAAGAUUGUUAUAACUCAAGAGUAGAAAUCUCAA